This 59016-nucleotide long non-coding RNA is filed under the name Lactuca sativa (garden lettuce). RNAcentral's name for it is "long non-coding RNA (LSAT_LNC006706)". Lineage: Eukaryota; Viridiplantae; Streptophyta; Magnoliopsida; Asterales; Asteraceae. The record is from RNAcentral.
CUUAUCGAUCAUCACUAGCACACGAGUUGAGGUUUACAACCUAUCGUGUUGACAUUAUUUUGUUUCUGUGCCAAUCCAAUCGAGUUAAUUAUGCAUGUGAGUUCUAUGAGUUCUCAUUUUGAACGCAUAAAAGGCAAAGCACCUUAAUCAAUGAAAGGUACAUUGAUAGGAAAGGGUGAGCUGCUUAACUACUUGGAAGACAUGGUGGGCAGCUGUGCUACCAUAAGGCAAGAAAUCAAGAUUAAGAAAGUUCGGUCCAUAUGAGUUUGAAUUUGUCGUAAACUUUGGUUUUAACAAAUUCACAUGGAUAGGAACACAUACACCGUUUAAAUCUAAGUGUCAUAAGAUUUCCUCCUUCAUGAAAAUGAUUGUGAGGAAAUGCUUUCACUAAGAAAGAUUUUAAGAAGAUAGUGAUUGUAAAAUUGCAUUCUCGAAUUCGAUUAUGGUUACGGUAUCCCUUUCCAUAAUUUGAAUUGUGAGGUUUGGCAAUUAGUCUUAAUUGUUUAGACACACAUAUGAACUAUCGAAGGCAAAGGUGUAUAAGUUCAAGAAGCCUUGAUAAAAGAUUAUCAAAGCACUAAGUAUUAGAAACAUGAACUUAAGAAAUUCAAUAAGUAUUGUUUUUCUGAAAGUUAAGAUGUUUAUGAAUACAUGUCGAAGCUAGUGGGAGCAUAAGUGUUAUGUUUUAUAAUAAUCAUCAUGAUAGUGGGAGCAUAAAUGUUAUGAUUGUAUGAUUAUUAAGGCACGUAUUGCAAGUUGGCAAUAUUAAUUAUAGAAAACAAGAGUUAUACCUUGCAAAGUCGUAAGGGUUGUAAAGUUGUUUUGCUAUAAUUAAGGGAGAGAAUAUUAUGCUUCAUUUCAAAUCUAAAGGAUUAGGUUGAGAAAUGUUAAUAAAUUUAGUCAAAGGUACAUAGUGUGUUCUUAAAAUUUCGAUUAUGAUUACGGCAUCCCUCUUCACAAUUCGAAUUUUGAGAACAUAGCAAAUAAAACAUUAUGCGUCGUGUCCCAUACGCUUCGGGUAUAGGAUCGAUUGCAAAUGCUUUAAUGUUUGACCAUUCUAAAAUUUUCCAAAUGUCGAGCGCAUUUAGAGGGAAAAGGGACUAGAAUUGGUUUUGACUAAAAUAAUUAAACAACUAUCAAAGGACAAUCCAAAGUUCGACGAGGAUUGGUCGCUUGUGAGUAGUUGGAAGCAUGGUAUUGGAUGGACCAUAUCGACAUUAUUAUGAAUAGAAAAGAUUCUAUUAAGAAUGAGUUGUCAUAUGGAAAUUAUGGAAAUGUUUCCAUAUUGGAUGGACCAUAUCGACAUCAUUACGAAUAGAUAAGAUUCUAUUAAGAAUGAGUUGUCAUAUGGAAAAUAUGGAAGCGUGUCCAUAUUGGGAAUUGAAUAUUGAAAAUCUAUGUCUAGAUUAGAAACUUUUAUGCAAAAGGAUGUUCAAAGGAAUGUACUUUGAGUGAGAGACAUCAUAUCUAAGGAAUUGUCUUGUAACAAUCUCCGAUAGAGGACUUUGUAAUAUCAUUGGCAAUAGUCUUUGUGACUUUGGUGCAGUGACAUUACGAAAGGAUCAUUGCAUAGAAUGUUAGAAUCUAGCAUAUUCUAUAAGUAGCAAGAAUUUGAUAUUCUUUCACUUAUGAAAAAGGGAUUUGGAGUUGUGAAAUGAGAAGGAUUGGAAAUGUGUUCAAUGUGAUCUAUUUCACAAAGUAAGAACCAUAGGUAAACAUUGUGUGCAUGCUAGGAGCAUGGGACAAGUGUUGUAAUUCAAGUAAGAAGUUGAUUACCCGAAACGACAAAUAAUGAGUAAUCAAUAUGGUGAUAAAUAAAAGGUGUUUUAUUUAUACUCAAAGGUUUGAGGCCAUAUGGGAUUAGUAUUAUUCUUGUGUUUCACAUUUGCAUGUUUUGACUUCCAGAAUAAUUGAGUUUAUUAAGAAUAAUCGAAUUAUUCAAACGGGCCACAGUCGUUCAUAUGUUGGAAGUAGAUAUGAAUGAAGACUGUCGUGAAUUGGUGUGUGGAUUGUCUAAAAGAGUAUUAGACAUAAGCAAAUGUUUGCUGCAACGUUCAUGAGUGCUUAUGAAUAUGAUUUGAGCAUUGGAUUAAACCCACGCUCACUUGGAUCACUCCAUGAAUUGUAUCACGAGUGAUUGGUGAGACGAUAACAUCUUAUAUUCUUGAAACCGAGAUGUGUGAGUUGUAUCUUGCAAAUCGGUUGCACAUUGAUAAUAUGUAAACGCACUAGUAACUUGGUGUUAUAAAACAUAUUGUUGUGUGUGAUUCGGUGAGUGAGUGCAAGCAAGCAUUGUAUCAAAGUUUAUCCGUUCCUUUUAUCCAAAGUAGGAUAAAAGCGAUAUCUUUGGGCCCCUCGAUGGUUUAGUGAUGACAAACGUAAAUGCUCGGCCGGGCUAGGGCUAAUUUGAUUUGUUCAAUUAGUCAGUCGUCAUAAAUCGGAAAUCGAGAUAUAGUACAAAGAGAAUGAUUUGAAAUCAUAUCUCAUAUGAUAUCUAGAAUGGAGGAAUUUAUGAUCCCUUAUUUAAGGACACGCGUAUUUGAUAUGAUCAGAAUUGACAGCGGCUUUGGAAAGCUACGAUUGCAGAUCGGGAUCCGAAGUCAUACGCAGAAUAGUUGUUAGACUUAUCCAAGUGGGAGACUGUUGGAUUAGUGUCUAAGUCCAUAACUAUUUUGGUAUGUACUUGACCCGAUGGUGCAUGGUCCUUUUGGGUUGCCUUCACCAAAGCAACUUGAUUGGAGAAAUAAAUAGAGAGAGAGGUUAUUAUGAUUUAUUAAUAUGUUAUAAGAAUAAUAUAUUAAAGGAGAAAUCAUAUUUGUUUAAUUAAUAUUGGUCAAUAAUUAAUUAAGAAUUAAUUUUGUGAUCAAGUGUAAUUAAUUAAGAAUUAAUAUUGACUCUCUGCCUUCCAAGGUCAAUACAAGGAGGAAUUGGAUUGUUAUUGCUAUAUAACAAUCAAGGUAUGUUCUUAAACCUAUUUACAUGUGAAUUCUGAUUUCCAUAUGCUAGAAUUAGGGUUUAUAUUCUUGGAUUCAAAGUAUGUACAAUAGAGAAACCUAGAUCCAAGCAUUAGGGUUUGUAUGAGCACAUAGGAUGUCUUAUGACCAAAACCCAUCAAGAAUAACUCAGGUGCCUCAACCACCGGGUUGGAAUGCCAAUAUACUAUGGGUCCAAUCAACCAGCGGGCUGGAAUGCCCCGGCCUGUUGGCUUAUGCAAAAAGCAGUGAAGCCUUAGCCACCAACCAAUCAUGCGCACAUAAUACAGAUAAACAUACUAUGAACCAGUCAACAAACAAACAGACAGACCUUACAGAUCACUAAGCAUAGCAACAUCCUAAAUACCAGGAUACUGAUCGAACAGAUAACAAGUCCAGUGAGGAAUACUAACCUCUCAAGUAGUGUAGAACUGAUAAGGUCUCAUUCCGAAUCUCAGUUCCUGACUCAAAUGUCUACAACCACCAUGUGACCAAUUCUAUCAAAUUCCCGAAAUACCCAAAAUGCCCUCAAAAGUCAAACUUGGUCAACCAUGGUUAAAGCCAAAGUCAACGGUCAAGGUCAACAGUCCAUGUUGACCCAACUCGUCGAGUGCACCAAUAAACUUGUCGAGUUUCUAUAGAAAUCAGAUGGUCCGGAAAAUCCCAGCCAACACGUCGAGUUGGCUUGCAAACAUGUUGUGUUUGCCCCAGCUUAACGCAUACAGUUGUUCCUACGAUUUAAGGGACUCCAAGACUCAGAUCUUAACUCAAAUGCUAUAAAAAAGGAUAAAGUUUCCAAAUUUAUCCUUUGCGGCUACUCCAAGUGUUCAAAAACCCAUCCAUAAAGCUUGAAGAUUCAAGGGCUUAACCAAUAAGCACAAAAUCCUUGAGAUCUGGAACGCAACCUUUCUAGAAGAUAUUCUAGCAUCAUAAUUAACCAAAGGUUGGUGCUUUAUAGACAUGCAUAUCCAAUGCAUGUCUUUAACCCAAAAUGGAUCAAAAAAGGGGAAAUAUGACCUAAACUCCACACAUGGCAUCAAAACUUGGCUAAAGACCAGAUGCAAAGCACUACAAGGUCACCUUUACCUGGAGAUUCAUAAAGUUGCAAACUUUAUGAGAUCUAUUCAGUGCGACAUCCAAGAAUAAGGAGAAAAAGUGACAAAACUCAAGAUCUAGCUACAUAGAGGAAUAAAAAUCGAAUCUUGGACGCUUACAAAGGUCCAGAAGAGUGUCAAACUGAAGAUGGGAGCUUUUCUUGCUAGAUCAUUGCUUCCUUCUUCCAACUUUCUUCUUCUUUUGCUCCAAAAUACCAUACUAGUUCACAAAUGAGAGGGAAGGAUGAUUAGGUUUCACAAGGGCUGAUAAGGGGGUUUGGAGGCUGAUAAAAGAUCAACCCUAGGGACUUAAGGGGAUUAUAUAGAGUGCAAAACCCUAAAAUUUAGGGUUUCUCAUCCAGCCGCUAACACGUCGAGUUUCUCCUCACCAACAUGUCGUGUUGGUCCAUAAAAAUACGCAGCCAAAAGUCCUUCAACGCGACAUAGUGAGGUUUCCACCACAUCGUGUUCCAAUGGAAAAACAUGCUAAAAGGGAUACAUCUCAUAACUGGAAGUUGUGAUGUUACAACUCUCCCCCACUUGGACUAGGCUUCGUCCUCGAAGCUUGUUGCGGUGAAAAACCGAAUCUCAGCCUCCGACUCCCAGGUCCACUCAGAGCCCCUUCGGUGCUACCACCGUACCUUUACCAAACGUACUUCCUUGCUAUGCAAGACCUUUACAUUCCUUUCCAGGAUAGCAACCAGCCUCUUGACAUAGUUAAGGCGCUCAUCAACCCGAAUAUCAUCCAAUGAUACCACUGCAUCCUCGUGCAAUAUGCACUUUCGCAGGUGCGAAACGUGGAAAGUGCUAUGAAUCUGACUAAGCUUCUCCGGAAGAUCCAAUAUAUAUGUAACAUUGCCAACCCUGACAAUAACCUGGAAUGACCCAAUAUAUCGGGGACCUAACUUCCCCCUCUCCCUAAAGCGAAUCACACCUUUCCAAGGUGAUACCUUCAGCAACACCAUGUCGCCGACCUGAAACUCCAACACAAAUCGAGGUCGGUCAGCAUAGCUCUUCUGUCGAAUCUGAGCAGUCUACAAUCUCUGCCAGAUUUGCUAGAUCAUCUCUGUAGUCUGAAGGAACACCUCGAUCCGCCCCAUAACCCUAUGACCAACCUUGCCCCGAAAAACUGGGGUACGAGAUCUCCGCCCAUCCAAUAGCUCAAAAGGCGGAGCACCAAUGCUGGAGUGGAAGAUGUUGUUGUAGGAGAACUCUGCAAGAGGCAGGUAGGAGUUCCGGAUCUCCACAAAAUCAAUGACAUAAGCUCGCAACAUAUCCUCAAGAGUUUGUAUCGUCCGCUCACUCUGGCCAUCGUUCAGAGGAUGAUAGGAUGUGCCGAAGUGCAACCUCGUACCCAAUUCCUCAUGGAACUUCUGCCAAAAUCGAGAGGUGAACCGAAAAUUAUGGUCAGAAAAAAUGGAGACCUUAACCCCAUGGCGAGCAACGAUCUCGCGAAUAUACACGUCGGCUAACUUAUCGGCCGAAGAACUCUCCCAAAUCGCCAGGAAAUGGGCUCUCUUGGUCAACCGAUCCACGAUGACCCAAAUAGCAUCAAAUCCCCUUGCCGUCUGUGGCAUUUUGGUGAUGAUGUCCAUCGAAAUCUACUCCCAUUUCCAUAUGGGAACCUCCAGAGGAUACAUCUUGCCAUGCGGCCUCUGAUGCUCGGUAUUGACCAUCCUGCAGGUCAAGCACCUCUCCACGUACCAGAUGAUCUCUCUCUUCAUACACGACCACCAGUAGCUCAAUCUCGGAUCCCGAUACAUCUUGGUGGCCCCCAGAUGAAUAGAAAACGAGACUUAUGAGCUUCCUCUAGGAAAAUCAGUCUGACCCCACCAGACAUAGGAACCCAAACCCGACCACAACGGGGCAACAAACCACGACUGCCCGGAACAAAUCUGGUGAUUUCACCCUUGAUCCUCUCAAUCUUCCGAAUCUCUUCUCGGACACCCUGGGCCUAAGCCUCCCUAAUAAAUCCCAAAAGCGGAGAAUCCACUGAUAUCCUCAUACAUGACACCUCAUUAUAAGGUCCAACUGAAUUACGGCUUAAGGCAUCCGCCACCAUAUUCGCUUUACCCGGAUGGUAAAGGAUCUCACAGUCAUAAUCCUUGACUACGUCUAGCCACCUAUGCUACCUCAUGUUCAGGUUUGAUUGAUCCAUAAUGUGUCUUAAACUCUUGUGAUCCGUGUAGAUGGUACAACCAACCCUAUAUAGAUAAUGUCCCCAAAUAUUGAAGGAAAAAACCACAGCCACCAACUCAAUAUCAUGCGUAGGAUAUCUCAAAUCAUGUGGCUUCAACAGCCGCGAAGCAUAAGCUAUUACCCAUCCUCUCUGCAUGAGGACUUCUCCCAAACAAGUGAUGGACGCAUCACAGAAAACCACAAAAUCCUCAGUUCCUCUAGGAGGGUUAAAACUGGGGACUCACAUAGCCUCUGUCGAAGGGUUUCAAAUGCCGUUUGCUGCUCAGGGCCCCACAGGAAAUCCACUCCCUACCUCGUCAGACGAGUAAGGGGUACUAAAAUCUUGGAGAAAUCCUGAAAGAAUCUCCAGUAGUAUGAUGCCAAUCCUAACAAACUCCUGAUAUUCGAGGGAGAUUUCGGAACCUCCCACUGCAUCAAUGCCUCGAUCUUGGCCGGAUCGACCAAAAUCCCCUCCUGGUGAACAAAGUGUCCAAGGAACUAAACCUCUCUUGACCAAAACUCGUACUUUGAGAACUUAGCAUAAAGUCAUUCUCGCCUUAAAACCCCAGGAGCUCGCGAAGAUGCUCCUCAUGUUGCUCUCUAGUCUUGGAAUAUACAAGGAUAUCAUCAAUAAACACGAUCACCGAACGAUCGAGCAUCGGCCUGCAUACCCGAUUCAUCAAAUCCAUAAAUAUUGCAAGUGCAUUGUUGAGCCUAAAUGGCAUCACCACAAACUUUUAAUGCCCAUAACGAGUCCGAAAUGCAGUCUUCUCCACGUCCUCCUCCAUCACCCUGAGUUGAUGGUACCCGGACCUCAUAUCUAUCUUGGAGAACCAAGAUGCACCCUGUAACCGAUCAAAGAGAUCAUUAAUCUGCGGAAGGGGAUAACGGUUCUUCACCAUUAGCUUGUUCAACUUCCGGUAAUCAAUACACAUCCGGUGUGAACCAUCAUUCUUCUUGACGAAUAAAAUCAGCACUCCGCAUGAAGAACUAGUCGGCCAGAUGAACUGCUUGCCUAGUAGUUCCUGCAACUGAGAUGACAACUCCUGCAUCUCGGGUGGUGCCAAAUGGUACGGCGCCUUGGCAAUCGGGGCUGCACCCGGAACGAGGUCGAUCCUGAACUCGACCUGCCUCUCAGGAGGCACACUGGGUAACUACUCCGAAAAUAUAUCGGCGAACUCCCUAACCACCGGGACCUAUGAGACUAAAAGUUGAUCCCCAACACACGUAUCCACCGCAUAAGACAUAUAACCUGCACACCCGUGCUAAAUAUACACUCGAGCCCUGGCUGCAAAACAAAACUCUAAACCCAUCCUAGUGUCAUCUCCAUAAAUAACAAGUUCUCCCCCCACUUGGGGUUCGAACUACCACGCGCUGGCCCUCAUAAUCAAUCAAAGCACCAAAACGACUCAGCCAAUCCAUACCUACAAUCACGCAGACAUACCCCAUGGGGAUAGGGAUCAAAUCGAUCGAAAAGGAUACGCCAAAGAUCUCCAAAAUACAACCCUGAUAAACCGAAGAAGCAUAAGCCCCAUGUUUGUUGGCGAUAGAAACUUGCAACGGACACUCCAACUCCCCUAAGGGUAUGUCAAACUCCCUACUAAAUGACCAAGAAACAAAGGACUGACUCGCACUCGAGUCAAACAACACUAAAGCAGUCAAGGAGUUCACCAGAGAUGUACCUACCAAAGGUACAAAUAUAAGCAUAAUGUAAGCAUAAUCAAUAAGACAGGGGAUAGAAACCUACCAGUCACAACAUAUGGUCUUGCUCAGGCCUCCGCGGCGGUAAGCUGGAAAGCACGACCUCGAGCCCUCGGGGGCUCCACCCUGCUCUGACUUUUGUCAGUGAUCCACAAAGUAGUCGGCGCUAGAGUCUGCGUCGGCCUGGCAGCAAGAAAAGGACAAUGGGCCUUCAUAUGGACCACCUGAUCAUAAUGGUAACAAAGUAUGAUGCCAUGAGCUGGAGUCUACUGCCGACAAUCCCUCGUGUGACAACCCGUAAUUUUCAUUCGGUCAAACCCUAAAAGCCAACCGCUUCUUAUUAUAAGUUAAUGUCAUUAUUUCUUAUUUUUAACAAAUUUGAAGUUCGUUUGAAUAUUUUAAUAUUAUUUUUAAACGAACGGGUGAAAGAAAGUGUCGUCUUGAGUUUUGAAUUUUAAAAACCGCAACCACCUCGUGUCUUAGAAAUUCCCGACCAAACUUUUAUGUUUGGGUUGAAAACUCACACAAAAACUGUGAACUCAUGCAUAUGUAUGAGUUUACUCCCCAAGACUAGUCAUUCUUGUGUUUACUCCCCAAAUACCAAAAGAGUAAACUCCAAAAUAUCCUCUCAAGUAUCAUCCUAAAACUCAUUCAAAAUCUUCAAACUUGUAAGUGUUCUAACCAUUUCAAGUUGGUAUAAAACUUAAUCUAGUGUUUGUGCAUCUAUUCAUCCAUUCAUUUAUGUAUUUUGUCUAGAUUUCCAAAAACACCAAGAACACCAAGAACACACACUAAGUGUUCUUGGACUUUUAGCUCAAAUCAAGCUUCCUUAUAGUAAGUACUUCCAUCUUUGAGACUUCUUAGGCUAGUAUUACAUGUUAGCAUCAAGAAAUAUGUCAAGAACACAAGGAAUAUGGUGUUCAUGGUCCAAGAAUGUUCUUGGGCCGUAAACACCAAGAAAGGCACCAAAGUGUGCCUAAGUCCUUAUCUAAGCCCUAGUUUGAUGUUUAAGCCUUCCUUGAUAUGUUUAAACCUUCCCUUGAUGUGUUUAAGCCUUGAAAAACACCAAAAUCCAACAUUAUUAGGUGUUUACGGUUUGGGGAUCUCCCAAAACCGUAAACACCCUAAAGUGUGUUUUUAUGGGCCUUAUUCCUUCCUUAGGCCUAAAAACUAACCUAGACAAUUACCUUGUUGUGUUAAGGACUUGAAAACAUGGAAAUACCCUUUUCCAUAAGGGUUUACGGUAGUAAACCGAAAGGGAAAUGCCCAUGAGGCCGUAAACUCCUCCAAGGAGUGUUUUUGUUGCCCUAGUCCCUUCCAAAGGCCAAACCACCAAGUAGAAAUGUUUCAAAAGACUUGUAAAACCACAAAAAAACAUAGGGUCAUAUGGAGUAGAGUUUACGACCGUAAACCCUUGAGUUUAAUGUCGUAAACUCCUUGGGUAAUGGUCACUAAAACCGUAAACUCCAAAGGAGUUUACCCUUGAACUCCAAACACCCUAGCUUUGCCCUACAAACACUUGGAUGCAACCCUUGUGAUCUUUAAGACUUGAAACAAAGUUUUUUCAUGUUCUAGACGAUCCCAAAUUAAUUUAUUAGUUAUAAAUUGGCUAAUUAGUUAUAUAUAUGUUCAUUAUAUGAUAACUAGGCUCGUGCGUGUGUACAAGUCUCCGUUUGUCACCUAGCACCGUAUCCGACACUUCAAUCCAAUCCACUCACUGCAAGUGAGUUCAUACCCCUUUAACUAACCUUUGAAAUACUUUUAAAUGUUCCAAAUGCUUUUAUGGGGGGGUGUGGAAUACAAGUCAAAUACUUAUAGUUAUUACAUCAAUCACAUGUAAUUAAUAACUACAAAACCAAUGAUUUUAUUACUGUUCAAACUGUUUAUCAAACUGUUUCACUUCAAACUGUUUUUACGAAUUUCUUUUACUUAUCAAAUACUUUUACUUAAACUCUUUUAAACUUAUUAUAAAUUGCAUGCCCAUAUAUGUAUAGUUAUAUAAGCAAUGUUUAAAAGGCUUAGGAAGGCCGCCCGCCUUAUUUCCUUUUCGCGCUUGAGAUGUGGUCUGGUGGGAUAUCGGGUAUCCGUCGGAAGGUUGUUUAAAUAUUAGUUAUAUAUCAUGUGUAUAUAUAUGGUCAUAAAAGUUCUUCCAUAUUCUUACGUACCAGUUACAUCAUUAGUAACUUACCAUAUAGGUAGCACAGGAUAAUACUUAUACUAUUACUAGAACAAUUAGAUGUUCAAUGAGUCAGUUCAUUCAUGAGUCAGUACUUAUUACUAUGAGAACAUAUACAACUAUACUAGAAGAAGAACAUAUACAACUAUACUAGAAAGUGAACAUAUACAACUAAACUAGAAAGAGAACAUAUACAAUGAUACUAGAACUUGUAACAAUACAUUACAUAUACAUGAAUACGUUAACAUAAUUGUGAUCCACUGUAUCGGAGCAUGCCUUCAAUGUCAUGGACCGAGUUGUAGCCAGAGUCUCUUGGAGGGAGACCGUGAGUUUGCGUAUAGAUCUAUACUGGAUUGACUAUCCUACACCUUGCUGCUAGCUACAGCCGGACCUGCAGGUCUGCGGGUGCCAAACGUCAUACCUUUUUACGACCUACAUUGUUCGUUGUUACCUAGUCGAUAGUAUGGUACAAUUAAUCACAUAAUACCUUAAUAUAAAUCCGGUUUAAGGUAGUUAGUACAGAAGUAGUUCCUAUAAUACAACACUACAGUACUACAUUAAUUUACCCUUUAAAUAUAUUUAGUGAUCAUUUCACUUAAACAUUAAUGUACAAACUAUAUUUUGUAAAUGAUAGUUACACUUGGGAAAUUACACACUUUUACAACAAACGAACAUACAAAACAGUUAAGCCUUGGUAGAAGGCUACUUUAAUAGAAAAUAUAGGUUUUUCUGAGAGAUUCAAACUUUUACAAACACUUACAAACAUUUACAUACAUUUUACAAACUUACACUUGAGACAUGUUCAAACGUUUUGAUAACAAACACCGACACUAAAAUACUUAUGAACUCACCAACUUAAUGCUGAUAAACUCUUUCAAAAUAACUUGUAUUCUCAGGUCAUCAGUAGACAGGUACCGAGGCCAGCUUUUGAGAAGAUGGAGCGCAUCCAAGACUCAUCUUAUUAUUUUGAUUUACUUUUUGGUGUCUAUAACUGUACAGAACACACUUGUAUUAAAAUUAUAUAUUUAAUGCAAUGGAUGAUGUUGUUUGCUUAUUUACUGUUAUACUGUGUUGUGAUACUUUACAUGACGUCCUCCGCCCCAGAACGUUUCCGCCGUUCUCGGUUUUGGGGUGUGACAGAUUGGUAUCAGAGCAUUGUUUAUAGUGAAUUGAGUAUAUCAACCCAUAAAAGAUAUACUAACUAUAAACCCAUUUGGGAUUAAAACACUCUGACCAAGAGUCUAUACUUUAAAUAUUAAAAUAUUUAAUUAAGUAUACUAGUCUGCAUUCAUACUAAAAUCAGUGUCACAAUGACAAGAACAAAAGUAUUACGAUUGUUAAAUAUCACAAGUGAGCUCGGGGAUGUAUGGUCAGUCCUGGGAAUGGCAUAGUCUGAUCAACUAUGCUGGUCCAAGGAGUGAUUAGCAUAUGCCCUAGAAUGGUUGUGAUAUGUUAAGAAGUCUAAAAACUUACCAACAAUACCACAAGGAGAUCAGUAGAACCUAAACUUAAAAUACUAUAGGGGUAUUUUGUGCUACUACAAGCUAUUUAUACACUAGAUUCUUAUACCUCUCUUCUCUCGUAGAUUUAAAUGGCUAGAUUCCAUCAUGGCGACCCGUACUUCCCAAAUGAAGGAAAUGCUGGGUGGAUCGAAGAAGAGCCCGAAGAUGAGCAUCCAAUCCCUUUGGAUGAUCACCUCGCUGGAGGCUUUUCUGAUGGAUCUGACUCUGAGCCUGAAGUCAACAACCUACCGCCAGUAGGUCAAGCCCCAAACAACAAUCCCCGACCAGCUUUCCUAGGUCCCACACCCUUGUGGGCAACCAACUUGAAUCGCUGGAGUGACGAACAGGGUCAACCAUUACCUUACUUUGGGGACCGAAGCUUUUACAAUCUCAGCGAAGGUGGCUUUGCAGAUCGAGCUCUGCCCGUCAUUGUCCGUAGAAUAGCUCGUAAUGUUGAACAAGGUCGAGCAGCCAUCGACCGGGUCAUGAAGAUUGAUGCCAACUCUGGUGUCAACAGAGUCCGCAUCUGCCGUCUUGAAGAAGAAAUGGAAAGGACCAGGAGAACCAAUGAGACCCUGCAGCAACAGCUGGCUGCCUCCUGAGCCGAAGUCAUGGAACUUUGAGCCCGUCAGAGGUCUCAUGAGCGGCACCUUCAAGAGGUGGUUCGUCAAGUGGCAGACUUCAGGGUUCGCCCGAGGAAUUCCCAUUGCCGUUGGAAGAUGUCUAGUACAUCUUUGUCUUUUGGUUAAGGAAUAGCCUUUAGUAUCUAUGCUCUAAGUAGCACUUUUCUGUAAAAUAUUCCUAACUUUCAGUACUCUAACUAGGAAUCUAAGAAUUGUCAAACUUUUCCGUAUGGUAUGAUAUAAGACCUACUGUUAGGUCGAUUUUCCCUGAACUUAUUACAUCAGUAAUACCAGUAUUAUUGACAACUACCUAAUCUAUGGAAAAAUUUGUACACUUGUGUUUUCCUACUAUUCUUCUAUGUUGUGAUCUCAAAACACUUGUUCAACUGUUGGGCUAUGGUUAGUUAGUCCAUGUGUCACUCUCACCCCAUUUAUAAUUGAUUCUUACCAUUGUGUUUACCUUUAUAAACAUUCAGCAGAAAGAUGCCUCCUCGCAAAUCUCCCAGGCAUAACCCUGCACCACCUUCACCUCCUCCUCCUCCUCCAGUCAUCGAUAUUGCAGCCCUGAAUGCUGCAGCAGUGGCAACUGCCAUGGCUCAGUAUCACUCUACUGAUGCCAGCAGAGGUGGAACCCCUGUUGACUCAAUUCCUGUUGAAAUCCCUGUNGCUGAAAUCCCUGUGCGCUCGAGAGAGUGCUCCUACAAGGAUUUCACCAACUGCAAGCCGAAGUCCUUCAAGGGAACCGGCGGAGUCAUUGCCCUCUCGCAAUGGUUCGAGAAGACUGAAUCAGUCUUCGAAAUUUGUUCGUGCCCUGCUGCGAUCAAAGUCAAAUAUGUCGCGUGCACCUUUGAAGAAAAAGCCCUAACAUGGUGGAACGACCAUGUUAAAUCACUAACUCCCGUAGUGGCAAAUGACAUGAGUUGGGAACCCAUGAAGGACCUCAUGAUUGAGGAAUACUGCCCGAGGGGCGAGAUCCAAAAAUUGGAGCAGGAGCUGUGGAGCCUAACCAUGAAGGGCUCCAACAUAGUCGCAUAUACCGCCAGAUUCAGCGAACUGGUGGCCCUCUGCCCCAAUAUGGUUCCCACUGAAGGGAAAAAGAGCGAGAGGUACAUAUGGGGGCUAGUGCCUCUGUAUCAGGGAAAUGUCCUAUCAUCAAACCCUGCUACCUUUGACAGUGCCAAGCGACUGGCACAGCGACUCAUUGACCAUGGAGUCAAAGCCCCAGCAGCGACAACAACCCUAUCCAUCUCAGAACCCUCCAAACCCGCUGACACUAAGCGGAAGUUCUGGGAUGCGAAGAAGAAACAGCGAACUGCCAAAAAGCAGCAAAUUGUGGCUGUGCAUGCCGCAAUAACCCUUGCUGCUGCUACUGCUCCGGUGAGGCAGUAUGUUGGAUGUUUGCCUAAGUGCAACAAAUGCAACUUCCACCACAACGGCCCCUGCCGUGAAAUGCAGUGCUCUAACUGCAACAGGAAAGGACACACAGUCCGUUUCUGUAAAUCUCCAGCAAGGCCGAUCACCCAAGUCCCCGGCAUUGGCAUGAGCCAGGCCUGCUAUGGAUGUGGCGAAGCGGGCCACUAUAAGAGGGACUUCCCCAAAGAAAAGAAUGCUGGCGAAGCAGGGAGGGUACUAGCAAUAGGCCAUGGGGAAGCAGUUGCUGACCCGACGGUGGUGACUGGUACGUUCCUCCUCAAUAACUCCUAUGCAUGCAUUAUGUUCGAUAGUGGAGCGGAGCGAAGCUUUGUGAGGUAUAAAUUUGCUCGCAUGCUUAAACAGCAACGACACACACUUAAUGAACAAUUCACAGUAGAAAUGGCUAAUGGAAAAACUGAAAGCACGAAUAGCAUAUACUUAGGAUGUACCCUAACUCUAGAUAACCAUUCAUUCCCAAUCGACCUUAUGCCGGUCUCGAUUAAAAGCAUCGACGUUAUCAUCGACAUGGAUUGGUUGAGUCUUCAUCGAGCCGACAUCAUCUGCUACGAGAAAGCAGUCCGUCUAAACCUCCCGUCUAACGAAACCCUUGUCAUCUACGGAUACAAACCCGGUGCGAGUCUUCGUAUUAUAUCAAGUAUUCAAGCACAGAAGUAUCUACGUAAACAAUACCAUGCAUUCCUUGCUCACGUUGUCGAUACGAGCCUCGAAACGAAAGAAUUAAAGAACAUUCCCGUAGUGAGCGACUUUCCCGACAUCUUCCCAGAAGAGCUACUAGGAUUACCUCCGCAACGACAGGUCGAGUUCAGAAUCGACUUAGUCCCAGGAGCUACCUCCGUAGCCAAGUCGUCCUACCGAUUAGCACCAGCAGAGAUGCAGGAACUAUCUGGUCAACUUAACGAACUGCUCAGCAAGGGCUUUAUAAGACCAAGUUUCUCGCCUUGGGGAGCACCGGUCUUGUUCGUUAAGAAGAAAGACGGAUCAUUCCGUAUGUGUAUCGACUACAUAGAACUCAACAAACUGACGGUCAAGAAUCGUUACCCUCUGCCUCGCAUAGACGAUCUAUUUGACCAACUGCAAGGGGCGAACUACUUUUCCAAAAUUGAUCUAAGAUCCGAAAAUCACCAGUUAUGAGUGCUAGAGGAGAUGUUCCAAAGACAUCCUUCCGAACUCGUUACGGACACUACAAGUUCGUGGUGAUGCCAUUCGGAUUGACCAAUGCGCCCGCAGUUUUCAUGGAUCUGAUGAAUAGAGUAUGCCGACCUUACUUUGAUCAGUUCAUCAUUGUCUUCAUUGAUGACAUCCUGAUCUACUCCCGAAGUAAGAAAGAGCAUGGUGAUCACCUACGACAAGUUCUAGGAACUUUACGAACGGAGAAGCUCUAUGCGAAGUUCUCUAAAUGUGAAUUUUGGAUCCGAAGAUUCGAAUUCUUAGGACNGAAGAAGGAAUCCACGUGGACCCAUCCAAAAUUAAGGCCAUUGAUAACUGGUCAGCACCAAAGACGCCUACCAAAAUUUGUCAAUUUCUAGGUCUCGCUGGCUACUACCGCAGGUUCAUACAGAACUUCUCCUGAAUUGCGAAACCUCUUACAACACUGACCCAGAAAGGCGUGGCCUUUGACUGGGAAGAGAAACAGGAGAGAGCGUUCCAAACGCUCAAGCGAGCCUUGUGCACCACACCAAUAAUAUCCCUCCCCGAAGGGAUAGAAGACUUCGUUGUCUAUUGUGACGUGUCAAAUCAAGGGCUCGGUUGUGUUCUAAUGCAACAGGGUAAGGUCAUCGCCUACGCCUCGAGACAGCUAAAGACACACGAAGUUAAAUACACCACACACGAUCUUGAGCUGGGGGAAGUUGUGUUUGCCCUGAAGAUCUGGAGACAUUACUUGUACGGAACGAGAAGCACUAUCUUUACCAACCACAAGAGUUUACAACACAUAUUCGAUCAGAAGGAGCUCAAUAUGCGCCAACGACGGUGGGUCGAGCUACUCAAUGACUACGAAUGUGAUAUUCAUUAUCAUCCGGGUAAAGCCAACGUAGUAGUAGACGCCCUAAGUCGGAAGGAAUAUUCUGGUCGAAGAGUCAAGUCAUUGACGAUGACUAUCAAUUCACACUUGUCUAAGCAAAUUCAGGCGGCCCAGCUCGAAGCCAUGAAACCUGAAAACAUGACGAGUGAAUCCCUUAGAGGAAUGGAUAAAAAUAUAGAAGCCAAGGGUGGCAGAGCCUUAUAUUUAAUGAACCGGAUCUGGACACCGAAGCACGGUGGUUUCCAAGACUUGGUCAUGACCGAGGCACACAACACUCGGUAUUCCGUUCACCCACGUUCAGAUAAGAUGUAUCUGGAUCUUAAAAAGUUAUACUGGUGGCCUAAUAUGAAAGCAGAGAUCUCUACCUUUGUAAGUAAAUGCCUUACUUGCACAAAGGUUAAGGUCGAGUACCAGAAGCCCUCUGGUUUACUACAACAACCAGAGAUUCCAGAAUGGAAGUGGGAGCGGAUCACUAUGGACCACAAAACGGGGUGAAAAAAACCGAAAUCCCUUUUUUUAAGUUCCUCCCAGAUACAUAACCAAGUUGCCCAAGAAAACGGGUGGACUUGAUACCAUAUGGGUCAUCGUCGAUAGAUUGACCAAGUCUGCACACUUCCUGCCUAUCAAAGAAACUGACAAGAUGGAGAAGCUUACGAGAACAUACAUUAGGGAAAUCGUACAACUGCAUGUUUUUCCUAUAUCCAUUAUCUCCGAUAGAGAUAGUAGGUUCACCUAAAGAUUCUGGCAAUCGCUACAACAUUCCCUGGUAACAAGGCUGGACAUGAUCAUGGCCUACCAUCCACAAACCGACGGACAAAGUGAGAGGACCAUCCAAACACUGGAAGAUAUCUGGAGAGCCUGUGUGAUUGACUUUGGAAAGGCAUGGGAUACUCAUUUACCCCUUGUCGAAUUUUCCUACAAUAAAAGUUAUCACACGAGCAUCAAGGCUGCUCCAUUUGAAGCCCUCUAUGGCCGAAAGUGCAGAUCCCCUCUGUGCUGGGCUGAAGUGGGUGAUACCCAAUUAGCUAGGGGGCAAGUUUCUGACAGUACUCUCACAGGCCUGGAAAUCAUUCGGGAAACAACAGAGAAGAUCGUUCAGAUCCGUGAACGAUUGAAAGCCUCUAGAGACCGACAGAAAAGCUACGCUGACAAACGAAGGAAACCUUUGGAAUUCCAGGUGGGAGAUCGAGUCCUUCUUAAAGUCUCACCCUGGAAUGGCUUAAUACGCUUCGGUAAGCGUGGGAAGCUCAAUCCGAGAUAUAUAGGGCCUUUCGAGAUUCUCGCAAGAAUCGGCCAUGUAGCUUACAAAUUCAGUCUACCCGACGAACUUCGUAACGUACAUUCUACAUUCCACGUCUCUAACUUGAAAAAGUGUCUGUCCGACGAGACUCUUGUAAUCCCACUCGACAAGAUCGAGAUCAACAAGAGCCUCAACUUUGUGGAAGAACCAAUAGAGAUCAUGGACCGUGAGGUCAAGCAGACGAAGCAAAUCCGUAUCCCGAUUGUGAAGGUUCGCUGGAACGCCAAGCGAGGAUCGAAAUUCACUUGGGAGCGUGAGGACCAGAUGAAUCUGAAAUAUCCUCAUCUUUUUGUUUAGUUAUUUGUAACUACUUUAUUUUGUUUAAGACUUUAAUUUCGGGACGAAAUUCCCUUUAACAGGGGGAUGAUGUGACAACCCGGAAUUUUCAUUCGGUCAAACCCUAAAAGUCAACCACUUCUUAUUAUAAGUUAAUGUCAUUAUUUCUUAUUUUUAACAAAUUUGAAGUUCGUUUGAAUAUUUUAAUAUUAUUUUUAAACCAACGGGUGAAAGAAAGUGCCGUCUCGGGUUUUGAAUUUUAAAAACCGCAAACACCUCGUGUCUUAGAAAUUCCCGACCAAACUUUUAUGUUUGGGUUGAAAACUCACACAAAAACCGUGAACUCAUGCAUAUGUAUGAGUUUACUCCCCAAGACUAGUCAUUCUUGUGUUUACUCCCCAAAUACCAAAAGAGUAAACUCCAAAAUAUCCUCUCAAGUAUCAUCCUAAAACUUAUUCAAAAUCUUCAAACUUGUAAGUGUUCUAACCAUUUCAAGUUGGUAUAACACUUAAUCUAGUGUUUGUGCAUCUAUUCCUCCAUUCAUUUAUGUAUUUUGUCUAGAUUUCCAAAAACACCAAGAACACCAAGAACACACAUUAAGUGUUCUUGGACUUUUAGCUCAAAUCAAGCUUCCUUAUAGUAAGUACUUCCAUCUUUGAGACUUCUUAGGCUAGUAUUACAUGUUAGCAUCAAGAAAUAUGUCAAGAACACAAGGAAUAUGGUGUUCACGGUCCAAGAAUGUUCUUGGGCCGUAAACACCAAGAAAGGCACCAAAGUGUGCCUAAGUCCUUAUCUAAGCCCUAGUUUGAUGUUUAAGCCUUCCUUGAUAUGUUUAAACCUUCCCUUGAUGUGUUUAAGCCAUGAAAAACACCAAAAUCCAACAUUAUUAGGUGUUUACGGUUUGGGGAUCUCCCAAAACCGUAAACACCCUAAAGUGUGUUUUUAUGGGCCUUAUUCCUUCCUUAGGCCUAAAAACUAACCUAGACAAUUACCUUGUUGUGUUAAGGACUUGAAAACAUGGAAAUACCCUUUUCCAUAAGGGUUUACGGUAGUAAACCGAAAGGGAAAUGCCCAUGAGGCCGUAAACUCCUCCAAGGAGUGUUUUUGUUGCCCUAGUCCCUUCCAAAGGCCAAACCACCAAGUAGAAAUGUUUCAAAAGACUUGUAAAACCACAAAAAAAAACAUAGGGUCAUAUGGAGUAGAGUUUACGAACGUAAACCCUUGUGUUUACUGUCAUAAAAUCCUUGGGUAAUGGUCACUAAAACCGUAAACUCCAAAGGAGUUUACCCUUGAACUCCAAACACCCUAGCUUUGCCCUACAAACACUUGGAUGCAACCCUUGUGAUCUUUAAGACUUGAAACAAAGUUUUUUCAUGUUCUAGACGGUCCCAAAUUAAUUUAUUAGUUAUAAAUUGGCUAAUUAGUUAUAUAUAUGUUCAUUAUAUGAUAACUAGGCUCGUGCGUGUGUACAAGUCUCCGUUUGUCACCUAGCACCGUAUCCGACACUUCAAUCCAAUCCACUCACUGCAAGUGAGUUCAUACCCCUUUAACUAACCUUUGAAAUACUUUUAAAUGUUCCAAAUGCUUUUAUGGGGGGGUGUGGAAUACAAGUCAAAUACUUAUAGUUAUUACAUCAAUCACAUGUAAUUAAUAACUACAAAACCAAUGAUUUUAUUACUGUUCAAACUGUUUAUCAAACUGUUUCACUUCAAACUGUUUUUACGAAUUUCUUUUACUUAUCAAAUACUUUUACUUAAACUCUUUUAAACUUAUUAUAAAUUGCAUGCCCAUAUAUGUAUAGUUAUAUAAGCAAUGUUUAAAAGGCUUAGGAAGGCCGCCCGCCCUAUUUCCUUUUCGCGCUUGAGAUGUGGUCUGGUGGGAUAUCGGGUAUCCGUCCGAAGGUUUUUUAAAUAUUAGUUAUAUAUCAUGUGUAUAUAUAUGGUCAUAAAAGUUCUUCCAUAUUCUUACGUACCAGUUACAUCAUUAGUAACUUACCAUAUAGGUAGCACAGGAUAAUACUUAUACUAUUACUAGAACAAUGAGAUGUUCAAUGAGUCAGUUCAUUCAUGAGUCAGUACUUAUUACUAUGAGAACAUAUACAACUAUACUAGAAGAAGAACAUAUACAACUAUACUAGAAAGUGAACAUAUACAACUAAACUAGAAAGAGAACAUAUACAAUGAUACUAGAACUUGUAACAAUACAUUACAUAUACAUGAAUACGUUAACAUAAUUGUGAUCCACUGUAUCGGAGCAUGCCUUCAAUGUCAUGGACCGAGUUGUAGCCAGAGUCUCUUGGAGGGAGUGUGUGAGUUUGCGUAUAGAUCUAUACUGGAUUGACUAUCCUACACCUUGCUGCUAGCUACAGCCGGACCUGCAGGUCUGCGGGUGCCAAACGUUAUACCUUUUUACGACCUACAAUGUCGUGUUACCUAGUCGAUAGUAUGGUACAAUUAAUCACAUAAUACCUUAAUAUAAAUCCGGUUUAAGGUAGUUAGUACAGAAGUAGUUCCGAUAAUACAACACUACAGUACUACAUUAAUUUACCCUUUGAAUAUAUUUAGUGAUCAUUUCACUUAAACACUAAUGUACAAACUAUAUUUUGACGAUGAUAGUUACACUUGGGAAAAUUACACACUUUUACAAUAAACGAACAUACAAAAUAGUUACGCCUUGGUAGAAGGCUGCUAUAAAUAGGAAAUAUAGGUUUUUCUAAGAGAUUCAAACUUUUACAAACACUUACAAACAUUCACAUACUUUUAUCACCAAUGUUUACAAACUCAUACUUUAAACCACGUUCAAACGUUUUGAUACAAACACCGACACUAAAAUACUUAUCAACUCACCAGCUUAAUGCUGAUAAACUCUUUCAAAAUAACUUGUAUUCUCAGGUCAUCAAUAGAUAGGUACCGAGGCCAGCUUUUGAGAAGAUGGAGCGCAUUCAAGACUCAUCUUAUUAUUUUGAUUUACAUUUUUGGUGUCUAUAACUGUUCAGAACACGCUUGUAUUAAAAUUUUAUAUUUAAUGCAAUGGAUGAUGUUGUUUGCUUAUUUACUGUUAUACUGUGUUGUGAUACUUUACAUGACGUCCUCCGCCCCAUAACGUUUCCGCCGUUCUCGGUUUUGGGGUGUGACACCUUGCAAUGUGGCCCUGCUUGCCACAUUUGUAACAACCCGAAGAAGAUCGACAAGCUCCAUUAUGCACCUUGCCUCACUUCCCAUAAGUGUGACCCCUCUAAUUCCCUGACUUGGACUCAGUGGCCCUAAACCACUUUGACGCAGGUUGCAACUGCGUCGAGGCCGAUCUCGACUCCCUCGUCUACAAAUCCAGCUCAAUCUCACGCUGCCUGAUGGCCUCCUGCAUCUGCAACAAUGAACCAUACCGCUGAGUAGAAACACAUUACCUGAUCUCCGUCUUGAGCAUGCUCAAGUAACAAGUCAUACGAGCCUGCUCAGAUGCAGCAAAAUCAAGACAGAACAUAGCUCUAUCUGUGAACAUCUUGGUGAUCUUUGUCACUGUCUCAGUACCCUGCCUCAAGAUACUCCUGGGCCAACCUCUUUCGCGCCACCAGCAGAACAUAUCGGGAGUGGAACAUCUAAGAAAACUGCUCCCAAGUCACAGCAGCACUUUGCUUAUCAGAAUAGGAACUGGUAGCAAGCCUCCAACAGUCCUUUGAUCCAAACCUCAUAAGGUUCAGAGCGUACCUGGCCUUUUGGUCAGAAGUACAUAAACAAGUGAAGAAACAUCCCUCCACAUCAAAUUUCCACCUCAUGGAAAUUAUCGAAAUCCGGGGUAUUCGUAUUGCUAAAGUCCCGAUACUGAAAAUCCCAACCUAGUCCAACACUUGCAGCUGCCACGGUUGUGGAGGCUACAACAGCAGUCUCGGCAAUAGUUGCGUAUCUGUCAUCAAAGAACUCCAUCAUCGCGGUAUUAAUAGACCUAAACAACUCUGGUAUCUGACCCCGUACAUUGGCUACGACCUCGUCAUGAAGAAUCUCUCUAAUUUGGCAUCCAACUUAUCUACCCCAAUCCGUCGGCCAGAUCCUGAUCCCGUUUUGGAUCCGAUCUAAACUCGCCUCAUAGUCACCAUACUAAAAAUACACCAGGGAGAUAUCAGAUAAUACACAUAACAUAACGGGGAACCAACUCCCAACAAGUCUUAGGGGUUGUGACUUCUCUGUUACAUGUACGGGUCAUGUGCUUUCAGUAGUACGGGUCUGUACUACCUUCCACACCUACCCAUAGUUGCCCAAAGGAUCAUCACCACAACCCUAACAAUACAUUUAGCAUGCCUAAACUCUCAAUCCUCACACCAUAAAGGAUAACUAUAUAUAUAUAUAUAUAUAUAUAUAUAUAUCAAAACUGGUCGGCUGACCCCACACCACUCAUCCAUGAAACUUCCUCCAACCCUGUAGCACUCGUGUAUGAUAGCUAUACAUAAUGCUAGACCCUAUAUACAUUUGAAUAUCUGAUCCUACCCUAAUCCCUUCAUCAAAUAAGAACAAGAAAUAGGGCCAAACUAAAAAUUCUCAGGUUAUAAGAUCUUAGUUAUGUAUGACCAUGAUGCAUACAUUAAGCAACUAUAGUAAUGAUGUCAAUUCCAUUAGAGAAGAACCCUAGGUUAUCAGGAAUCAUAUAAUCCGAAAAUCUUAUCAUGCAAAUCUACUGAAGAUCCCUAGCCUAUUGCUAGCAUGUUUUUCUAACACAUCAUAAUAUCAAAUAACAGUAAGGUGUUUUAGGGUCUACUUACUGGUUCCAGUUGAUCGUACACAACGCACCCUUCUUGAUUAUUUUGAAAACCAUUUGAAAAUCAUUUUAAAAAUAUUUUUCCUUAGUUUGAGACUAGAUUCGCACAAGUGUUCCUCCAAUUCACUCAAACCAAGGCUUUGAUACUAACUUGUAACAUACUCAAAAUUCUAAAAAAUUUAAACCUUUAAAAUUUACUUAGAAACCAUCAUUGUUUACAAAUUGUUUUCAAAAUAAGUUCAACAUCAUAGAAAUCCCAAAGUCAUGAAAUAAAACAUGAGGAGGUGCAUGAUCAAGCCUUCGCCUUUCCGCGAUCCUCUGAAGUACAUGAAACAUAAUCUAAAACUGUAAGCCCAAAGCUUAGAUAGUUCCCCCAAAAUACCAAUACAUAGCAAACAACACAAAUAUAAUAACAGCAUAUUAUAGACCCAAUCAACCAUUAGGUUGGAAUAACCCAGGCCCGUCAACCAUCGGGUUUGAAUGCCAACAUACUAUGAGUCCAAUCAACCAUCGGUUUGGAAUACUACAUGCCCUCAACUAUUGGGUUACAAUGCUAACAUACUAUGAGUCCAAUCAACAAUGGGGUUGGAAUACCCCAGGCCCUCAACCAUCAGGUUGGAAUGCCCGUGCCUGUUGGCUUACACACAAAGCAGUGAAGCCUCAACCACCAACCAAUCAUGUGCACAUAAUAUAUAUAUAUAUAUAUAUAUAUAUAUACACACACACACACACACAUACUAUGAACUAGUCAUCAAACAGGCAAACAGAUCUUUCAGAUCACUAAGCAUAGAAUCAUACUAAAUACCAGGAUACCAAUGUAAUAGAUCACAAUAAUAGUCAAUCAUGCAAUAAUUAGGAUAACAAUCCAAAAGGGUCGACCUUGGUGCCUUCGAACCAACAAGUACAGUGAGGAAUACUCACCUCUCAAAUAGUUUAAAACUAAUAAGGUCUAACUCCGAAUCAUAGCUCCCAACUCAAAUGCCUACAACCACCAUGUGACAACUUCCAUCAAAAUCCUGAAAUACCUAAAAUGCCCUCAAAAGUCAAACUUGGUAAACCAUGGUCAAAGUCAAAGUCAAUGAUCAAGAUCAACAGUCCAUUUUGAACCAACUCAUCGGGUGUACCGAUAAACCAGUUGAGUUUCUAUAGAAAUCAGAUGGUCGAGAAAAUCCUAUCCGACACGCCGAGUUGGCUUGCAAACAUGUUGUGUUUUCCUACGCUUAAUACAUUCAGUUGUUCCUACGAUAUCAGGGACUCCAGGACUCAGAUCUAAACUCAAAUGCUAUAAAAAAAGGAUAAAGUUUCCAACUUUAUCCUUUGGAGCUACGCCAAGUGUUCAAAAACCCAUCCAAAAAGCUUGUAGAUUCAAGGGCUUAACAAAUAAGCACAAAAUCCUUGAGAUCUAGAACCCAACCUUUCCAGAAGAGAUUCUAGCAUCACAAUCAACCCAAAGGUUGGUGCUUUAUAGACAUGCAUGUCCAUUGCAUGUCUUGAACCCAAAAUAGGUCAACAAAAGGGGAAAUAUGACCUAAACUCCAUGUAUGGCAUCAAAAAUUGGCUAAAGACUAGAUCCAAACCACUACAAGGUCACAUUGACCUGGAGAAUCAUAAAGUUGCAAACUUUAAGAGAUCUAUCCAAUGCAACACCCAUUAAUAACGAGAAAAAGCGAAACAACUCAAGAUCUAGCUACAUAAAGGAAUAAAAAUUGGAUCUUGGACACUUAUAAAGGUCCAUAAUAGUGGUAAACUGAAGAUGAGAGCUUUGUUUUCGAGAUCCUUGCUUCCUUCUUCCAACUUUCUUCUUCUUUUCCUCCAAAAUACCACACUAGUUCACAAAUGAGAGGCAAGGAUGAUUACGGUUCACAAGGGUCGAUAAGGGGGUUUAGAGGUUGAUAAAAGAUCAGCCCUAGGGACUUAAGGGGAUUAUAUAGGGUGCAAAACCCUAAAAUUUACGGUUUCUCAUCCACCCGCCCACACGCCGAGUUUCCCCUCAACAACACAUAGUUUUGGUUAAUAAAAAUACAUGGCCAAAUUUCCUUCCACACACUGUAGUGAGGCUUCCACCACACCGUGUUCCAAUGGAAAAACAUGCUAAAAGGGAUACAUAUCAUACCUAGAAGUCGGGAUGUUACACCAAACCCGUAAACUGAUAAAAAUUAACAAAACCAAAAUGGAAAAAUUAAAAAUGAAAGUUUAAAUUUUUCAAAAACCGAAAAUUUCGGUUUGGGUUCAAUUUUUGGAUUUGGAAAAACCAAAUGAAAUCAAACCAUAUAUAAAUAAUGUUUAUAUAUNGUGUGUGUAUGUGUGUGUGUGUUUUACAAAUUAAUAACAAACGCAACAAUUGGUACAUGUGGUUGGCGCGUUUGCACCUUGAAUUCAAGGUCUCAGGUUUGGAACACAACAUAUAUUCUCUUCUUGAUGUAUUUUUCCAUAUAUAUUCAAUAUUAUAACUUGGUUUGGUGGUUAAGGUGUUAGCACUUUGAAGCCUAGAUCUCUCAGGUUCUAUUCUGUCACACCCCGGAACCGAAGGCGGAAACGUUCCGGGGUGGAGGUGACGUCAUGUUAAGUAUCACAACCAAUGUACAUAGUAAGCGAAGUAAACACAACCAUUACAUUACAUAGAAGUAUUUACAUUUGUUUGAAAGUAAAGUUAUACAUGAUUAUAGAUAUAUACAUCCAAAAUGAACAAAAGUGAAGGCGAGACUGCCAUAAUGCUCCGUCUUCUCCAAAAGAUCGUGGGGUACCUGUCUAAUACGGACCUGAGAAUACAAGCAGUUUGAAAAUCAGCAUAAAGCUGGUGAGUUCAUAAGCGGUUUGUUUUCUGAAAAUGAACAAGUUUCCUUUAGUUUUCUGAAAUAGUUGUUAUCCAAGAAAAUCCCAUAUUUUCUUAUAAGAAAAGUCUAGUUAUGCAAUGUUACACAGUUUGGUUAAGAAUAGUUAAGUUAUCUCAGGAAAAACCCUUAUUUUCCUAAAAGUUGGUUACCAAUCCGGAAUGAAAUGUACAAGUAUCUACUAUACUUGCAGUGUUAAGAGAAGUAUUCUGAAAACCUGGUUAUCCUUGUAAAGUGCAUUAGUUUUAACACGUAUAUAAAACUAAUAAGUAGGAAGAAAACUAGUUACUAGGUUCAUUAUUACUAACAAGUAAAGCUCUGUUAUCUAAAUUGCGAGUUCCAUAACCAUACGAUAUACUAGAUAUGGCAAUAAGAAGUCCAAUAUCAUUUUAUGACUUUUGUCACCCUUGGACCUUUCGGUCCGUCUGUAGCUAGCAGCUAGGUGCGGGGUAGUCAGCCACGUAUAGAUCUAUACACUCAAGUCACGUUCUCCCUCCAGGAGAUUCUGGUUACAGGGGCGGUCCUCCACUCGCGUAUCUCUGUGGAGUGUUUUAGAGGACGUGUCUCCAAUUUUUAAGAAUAACAAAUUUACAAGUAAUAAUGUGACAACCUGUAAUUUAUUCUGUCACUAAAACCGUUCCCGUUAAAUAAAACCGUUGUAUUCAAUUUGUUCCAUUAACCUUUGCGUUAAUUAAUUUAAUCACGACUUUUAAUUCGUUUUCGUAAGUGUCGGGAUGUGUUAUAAACAUUAAAAUAUUUUCCGUAUUUAUUUGGAAAAUUAUUAGUUUCAUCCAAGUUGAGUUACGGCAAAAUUUAUCGGGUAUGACCAAAAGCCGCGUCAACGUCAGUAUCAGGUAGAAUUCCUCCGGGCCACAAACUCAACCCCUAUAUAAGGGAUUGAGUGACAUCAUUUUGAGGCUUUUUCUCUCUCUCUAAAAACUUUCUCUCACUACACUCUCUCUCUCUCUAGAAAUCGAAAUUGGUCCAAAAAUCCCCAUUUCAAGCAUUAUUUGGUAAGCAAUCCACCCUAAGCUUGUUGUUUAACUUGAAUAGUAUGCAAAUUCAUGUUGGAAUCACCCAAAACACCCAUGAGCAUGUGUUUACGGUUUGGGGACCCUCCCAAAACCGUGAACACCUCUUGUGAGGGUUUUGAAGCCUCAAAACAUUUCUAGGGGUUAGAUUUCACUUAGAAACUUACAUGCAUGAGCUUAGGACCCCAAAAUCGUAUCAUUUGAUGUAUGGACAUGAGUUUAGGGUCCAAGCAUGUUCUUGGACCAUAAAUCCUCAUUAAUGGACCAUAAACUCAUGUUAAAGUGUCAAAAUGCCCUUAAACACCUCCAAUGAACUUCCAUGAGUGCAUAGAACCUUGUAACCCUUCAAGAAAUGCACCAAAACAUGCACAAAUGGAGAAAACUAGAUUUUACAGUCCAAUAACAUUAUUAGACCGUAAACUCAUCUCCUUAGACCAUAAACUCUUCAAUUGGGUGUUAAAGUGCCUUUAACACCCUGUAUGGCUUGGAAUUGAACCUAGAACCUUGUAUGCUUAACCUUCAACCACUAAAACCCAUGAAUCAUGGAAAAACAUGAGUUUACGGUUGUAAACUCAUGUGUUUAAGGUAGUAAACUCCCAAGAGAUCUUCAUAGACCGCAAACUACUUUUCCAAGGUCAAUUCAAGUCCCAAACACUUCCUAAGCCAUAAAAUCAACACUAGAACCUUCCUUGGUGCAUUGUAAUUGACCUAAGACCACCAAAGCACAUUGAAUCAUGUCACACAAGAGUUUACAGCCGUAAAAUCAUAGUUUACUGCCAUAAACUCCUCAAAUGGUCCUUAGGGUGUCCAAAUCUCAUUCAAAAGCCUUGAAACCAAGUCUAGUAGCAACCCACAAGUGAUAUAAGGCCAUUUAGCAACCAAGAACACCCCACCAUGAGUUUACGGCCGUAAACUCAUGGAGAAUGGGUAUUUUGGACCGUAAACUCUCAAAGGAGUUUACUCUUGGGGAGUAAAAUCCAUAUCCAAACCAUACUCGUCCAUAGAUGCUACCCGGGUCACUCCAAACCCUUGGAUUGAAGUGUUUUCACGUCUAGAAGUGUUUACCCUUAUCUAAUUAGGGGUUUGAAGUCUAAUUAGAUACAUUUGUGUAUCAUUCCGUAUUACAUAGGAACCUCGCGCGUUAUCAAGCCCCGAACUGACGCUUAGCAUUCAAAUUGUCACGUUUUCUAGACUGGUGAGUUCAUACCCCUACCCUUUUUCAAUGUUUUUCACUGUUUUCAAGGGGGAGAAUACAAGCAAAGUACAAGGAAUACUUGUACUCAAAAACUUGUUUUACAUGUGUUGUGUUUAAUAUUUCAAAUGCUUUUAACGUUGACAAUCGUAUCAGAUAACCGUUUGAACUUGCAGAACACAUUACCGUAUUAUUUGUGAAAAACGUUAUAAAAUGUUGUAUUUUAUAUUUUCACAAAUGGUUUUCCACAUUAUAUGAGUUAAAAGCAUAACAUUUGAACUUUGAACAUGAAACUUAGUACACAGUUUUGUCCUUGGUAACACUCCACAGAGAUACGCGAGUGGAGGAUUAUUGUAUUAUUACCAGUAAAUUUGUUAUUCCUAUAAAUUGGAGACAUGUCCUCAGUGAACACUCCACAGAGAUACGCGAGUGGAGGACCGCACCCGUAACCAGAAUCUCUUAGAUAGGGAGCAUGACUUGAGUGUAUAGAUCUAUACGGGGCUGACUAACCCACACCUGGCUGCUAGUUACAGCCGAACCUAAAGGUUCAAGAGUGACGAAAGUCAUAAUGUGAUGUGGACUACUUAUUUCCAUAUCUAGUCUAUCGUAUGGUUAUGGAACUCGCAAUUUGGAUAACAGAGAUUUACUUGUUAGUAAUAAUAGAUUUAGUAACUAGUUUACUUUGUACAUAUUAGUUUUAUAUACGUGUUAAAACUAAUACAUUUCACAAGGACAACCAGGUUUUCAGUAUACAUCUUUCACAUUACAGAUUGGCAACCAACUUUCAGGAAAAUAUGGGAUUUUCCUGGGAUAACAUUUGUACAUAACCAGAUUCGUGUAACAAACCAGAUAACUAAACUUUACAAUUCACAAGGGUAACCAGAUUCUCAGUAUACAUCUUAUACAUUACCUUUCGGUUUGGUAACCAGUAUACAUCUUUUACAUUACAUUUUGAACGGGUAACCAACUUAUAAGAAAAUAUGGGAUUUUCUUGGUGCGUAACUAGUUCAGAAAACAGAAAGGAAACUUGUACAUUUUCAGAAAACAAAACCACUUAUGAACUCACCAGCUUUAUGCUGAUUUUCAAACUGCUUGUUUUCUUAGGUCCAUUUUAGACAGGUAUCCGAUGAUUCCUUUUGGCGAAGACGGAGUGCGUAGAAGACACGUCUUACUUUUGUUCAUAUAUACUAUGUAUAACACUUGUAUAACUUGGUUUUCAAACAAAUGUAAUUUCUAAUAUGUAAUGUAAUGUUUGUUUACUCCGCUUACUAUGUACAUUGGUUAUGAUACAUACAUGAAGUCACCUCCACCCCGGAACGUUUCCGCCAUGGGUUUCGGGGUGUGACAGAUUGGUAUCAAAGCCCAUGUUUAUAGUGAACCAAGUAUACCAAACCUUACAUGGUAUAAGACUAUAAACAUUAAGGGGCCUAAGUGCUCUGAACUAGAAGUAUACUUCAAAGUAUAAGUAUUUUCAAAAGUAUACAAGUAUACCUAACCGUCGAUAUCCGUAACUACAAGUAGAACAAAACAUAAGUAAAUGGGUGUUGUACGUUGCGGUUAAACUUGGGCAGUUAUGUAGUCAUGUCUAGGAUCAAUAUAGCCUGGCCAACUAUAUUCAUUCGAGACACGGCCAACAUGUGCUUGGGAGUGACUGUUGUGUGCGGCAUGCCUAAAACUUACCCAAAUACCACAAACAUCGAGACAGUGUCGUAGCGAAUCAUGAAAUACUAUGGGAGUAUUUCUCAAGUCAAUUCUUUGUAGAAAUCCUCAUUCAAGCGUUGUUUCUUGAUCAUUCCUUUAACGAUAAUAUAUCUACUUUGAUAACUCUUUCCUGCUUUAUCGCUUAUUCGGAAUAUAUCUGUGAUAUCUUUUGAUUCAAUUCAGAGGACUUACCAUCCUCUCUUUCCUGAUCUUAUUAGAUCAAGAUGCCUCAAAGAAAAAGACCCAGAUCAAAGACCAACAACCCUCCACCACCACUUCCUCCUGAAUUUGACCCUGUGGUUUUCCAGGCAGCUGUUACUGCUGCGGUAGCAGCUGCUAUGUCUCAAAUGAACAUCGGUGGUCCCGGUGGUUCAGGAGGUGGUCCCCAGCCUCAAAACCAAGAAGGUAGCCAGGAACACCGAAAGGAGGGUUCCUAUAAAGAUUUCAUGAACGCGAAACCCACGUCUUUUGAUGGCACUGGAAGUGUCAUUUCCCUUUCCCGAUGGUUCGAGAAAAUCGAGUCUAUCUUUGAAAUCUGUGUCUGUUCGGAAUCCAAUAAAGUGAAAUUCGCAGUUUGUACCUUUAUUGAUAAAGCUCUGACUUGGUGGAACGGCCGAGUCAAAUCCCUAACCCUACCUGUAGCCAAUGCCAUGGGCUGGGAAGUUGCAGCACGAGCUCUAGAACCUGAAGAUGAAGGAUUCCGAUAUUCCCACAUACACUUCGAGAUUUGAUGACCUAGCACUACUCUGUCCGGGAUUGGUUACCCUGGAGAGUAAGAAGAUAGAGAGAUUUAUUUGGAGGCUAACCUAACCGACCAAAGGAAAUGGUUUAUCUGCGAGGCCGGAUACAUAUGAUAGUGCCAAAAGCAUAGCCCAAACCCUGAUUGACCACAGUGAUGAUGUGGAGGAAGCAACCACCACUCCCGAACCGACCAAGAGGAUUGGUGAGAAAAGGAAUUUUUGGAAGAAGAAGAAGGGCCAAUCUUCUCAAGGAUCCUCAAAGAAACAACAGACUGUAGCAGUCCAUGCUGCUACUACCCCCGUUGCUAUUGCUUCUGUUGUGGGAUCUAUAGCUCAAACACCUACUAGCAGGUAUGCUGGUAACCUUCCUCAGUGUGAAAAUUGUAAAUACCACCAUAACCCGGCCCCUGCCGUGAGCUGUCAUGCACCAACUGUGGUAGAAAGGGACAUACGAUCCGAUUCUGCAAAGCACCAACCCAAUCAGCCAAUCAAUCUUCCGGAGCAAGUGUUGGUCAAGCCUGCUACAAUUGUGGAGAAGUAGGGCAUGUCAAGAGAAACUGCCCCAACAAGGCGAUAGCUGAUAGUACCGGGAGAGUCCUCGCCAUGGCAUGGGAGGAGGCAGUCGCCGACCCAACUGUUGUUUCGGGUACGUUCCUUCUCAACAACUCUUAUGCUAGUAUCCAUUUCAAUUCUGGUGUUGAACGUAGUUUUGUUAGCCAUUCAUUCAAACGCCUUCUUAAACAUAAACCCCAACCUUUAACCGAAACGUUUACCGUCAAGAUGGCUAACGGUGAGAAAGAAAGCGCUAGUGAGGUGUUCGUAGGUUGUACUCUUACCUUGAACGACCAUUCUUUUACCAUUGAUCUUAUGCCAAUUUCUAUAAAGAGCUUUGAUGUUAUCAUUGGCAUGGAUUGGCUGAGUCCCAAUCAAUCUAAUAUCCUUUGUUACGAAAAAGCCAUCCGUCUCAACCUCCCCUAUGGUCAGACUCUCAUAAUUUAUGGCGAUAAACUCAGCUCCAAUCUUCGCGUCAUUUCCUGCAUCAAAGCUCAGAAACUCAUGCGAAAGGAAUGCCAAGCAUUCCUAGCCCAUGUAAUCAAUGAGAAACAGGAAGUUAAAGACAUCGCGAGCAUCCCCGAAGUAUGUAAAUUUCCUGAUGUAUUUCCUAAAGAGCUUCCAGGAAUUCCUCCCGAACGUCAGGUCGAAUUUCGCAUUGACCUAAUUCCUGGAGCUACCCCCGUAGCCAAAUCCCCGUAUCGCUUAGCUCCAACAGAAAUGCAGGAGUUAUCCAGUCAACUCAAUGAGUUGCUCAGCAAAGGGUUCAUCAGACCCAGUUCCUCGCACUGGGGAGCUACGGUAUUGUUUGUAAAGCAGAAAGAUGGAUCCUUCUGGAUGUGUAUCGACAACCGUGAGCUGAACAAGUUGACCGUCAAAAACCGAUAUCCUCUUCCGCGAAUAGAUGACCUCUUCGAUCAACUCCAGGGGGCCAGCUACUUCUCAAAGAUAGACCUUAGGUCAGGGUACCAUCAGCUACAAGUUCAUGAUAGUGAUGUUUCCAAAACAGCUUUCAGGACUCGGUAUGGACACUACGAGUUCGUAGUGAUGCCCUUCGGUCUAACCAACGCACCGCCAGUGUUCAUGGACCCGAUGAACCGGGUGUGUCGCCCUUUUCUGGACAAGUUCGUCAUUGUGCUCAUUGAUGACAUACUUGUCUACUCCAGAAGCAAAGAAGACCACAAACAACACUUGAGGUCAGUGUUGGAAACCCUUAGAUCCGAGAAGUUGUACGCAAAAUUUUCCAAGUGUGAGUUUUGGAUUCGGAAGGUAACUUUCCUCGGUCACGUGGUAAGCGAAGAGGGUAUUCACGUGGAUCCAUCCAAGAUAAAAGCGAUAGAGAAUUGGUCGGCACCGAAGACACCCACAGAAAUCCGUCAAUUCUUGGGUCUCGCCGGCUAUUAUCGAAGAUUUAUCCAGAGUUUUUCCAGGAUCGCCAAACCCUUAACCACUCUAACACAGAAAGGUGUACCCUUUUGUUGGAGUGAAAAGCAAGAAAACGCAUUCCAAACAUUAAAGAAAGCCUUGUGUAGCGUACCGGUCGUAUCCCUGCAUGAAGGAACAUAGGACUUCGUUGUUUAUUAUGAUGUGUCUAACCAGGGCUUAGGCUGUGUGCUUAUGCAAUGGGGAAAACUGAUUGCAUAUGCCUCGAGACAGCUGAAGGGACAUGAGGUCAAAUAUACCACUCAUGACUUGGAACUAGGAGCCGUAGUCUUUGCACUGAAGAUUUUGAGACAUUAUCUCUACGAAACCAAGUGUAUGAUUUUCACUGACCAUAAGAGCCUGCAACACAUCUUCAAUCAGAAAGACUUAAACAUGAGGCAACGGCGAUGGGUAGAGCUACUCAGCGACUAUGAGUGUGAAAUCUGUUACCAUCUCGGCAAGGCCAAUGUGGUAGCAGAUGCCCUUAGCCGAAAGGAAAGUUCGAGUCGUAAAGUAAGGACACUAACGAUGACUAUCCAUUCCCAUUUAUCUAUGCAAAUCCGAGACGCCCAGUUAGAAGCCCUCAAACCAGAGAAUGUAUCAAGCGAAGCCUUGAGGGGAAUGGAUAAGAAACUUGAGAUCAGAGGUGAUGGAGUCUAUUGUUUCAUGGAUCAAAUUUGGACUCCAAAGUUUGGAGGAUUCAGGGAAGUUUUCAUGGAGGAAGCGCACAAGACCAGAUACUCUAUUCACCCAGGUUCGGACAAGAUGUACUUGGAUCUCAAGAAACAAUACUGGUGGCCUAACAUGAAAGCUGAGAUCGCUACAUUCGUGGGCAAGUGCCUGACUUGCGCGAAAGUGAAAGUCGAGUACAAGAAACCCUCGGGUUUGCUCCAUCAACCCGAAAUACCCGAGUGGAAAUGGGAGAUGAUUACCAUGGACUUCAUCACUAAGUUACCUAAAUGUCCAAGUGGGUACGACAUCAUUUGGGUAAUUGUCAAUCGUUUGACAAAAUCCGCUCACUUCAUUCCGAUCAAAGAAUCAUUCAAGAUGGAAAGACUCACGCGAAUCUAUAUCCAAGAGAUAGUCCGAUUGCACGAUGUACCUGCCUCCAUUAUCUCUUACCGAGAUAGCAGGUUUACCUCAAGGUUUUGGCAGUCCCUUCAGAAAGCUCUUGGAACUAAGCUGGAUAUGAGUACAGCUUUGAUGGGUUUUGGUCAUAAGACAUCCUAUGUGCUCAUAGAGUUCAUGGCCAUAAGACCAUGUCCCCAUGAGUUUACGGUCGUAAACUCAUGGUGGGGGGGUUCUAGGAUGCCAAAAGGGCUUAUAUCACUCAAGGAAUUAAGCUAGGUCCAAAUAUAAUGCAUACAAAGGGGUUUAACGCUUUAAAUGGACCUUUUGAGGAGUUUAUGGCCCUAAACAAGGAGUUUACGGAUGUAAGCUCCUAUGUGUAUAUUCUUUUUGUGUUUUAGGGUCUUAAAUGGUAGAGGAUAAAGUCCUCUGCUUUUUUCCAAGUCAAAUGGGGAGUUUAGGGUGUCAUUUGGGUGCCUUUUAGGAGUUUACGGCCCAUGGAUCUUUCCUAGGGGGGUUUACGGCCGUAAACUCCCAUUCCUUGGUUUCUUUAAUGUUUAAAGCAUUUACAUCUAUGGCAUUUGCUUCUAGACAUUUUUCCAAGGCCAUAGGAGGUGUUUGGGGAAUUUCUAACACAUAAACUUGAGUUUACUCCCCAUGAAGAGGAUUUUAGGGCCCAAGCAUGAUCUUGGGCAGUAAACUCAAGUUUACUCCCCAAAAUGUUAGUUCGAGGUGUUCUAAGUCCGAUUCCAUAAGCCAUUUAGCCAUAUCUAAGCCUUAGGGGUAGUUUAGAGGGGUUUUGGGGCUUAAAAACCCCAUUAAAUGGUGUUCACGAUACAAGAGUGUUCUUGGGCCGUAAAAACAUUACUUGGCCCGUAUUUGAUGUCUUAAACAUGAAUUUGUAUGUUAACUAAGCUACGCAACAAGUUAGAAUAGAUUACUCACUUGUUUGGGGCUCGAAACGGACGAUUUUGGCUUGAAAACUAAGUUGUAGAGAGAGAGUAUAGAGAGAGGGUGAAAAGGGUGGAAAUGAAGUCCACUCCCCCUUAUAUAGGGGUUUGAGUUGGGGCUCAGUGGAAAUCUACCCGAUACUGCCGUUAAACGGGGCUUUUGGUCGCACCCGAUUUAGUGGUCGUAUUUUGCCUUGGUUGAAACUAAACAUUUUUAAGGGCAUUUUGUGGGUGUUUCUAAUUUGUUUCAACCCUUACCAAGUCAUUAUAAAAGUUCCAAAUUAAUUAACCUCUUCCAAAAGGUUAACGGGCAAAUAAAUAAAGUGAGGCUUAUUAACAGAAGGAGGUUAAAAAUGACAGAAUAAAUUUCGGGUUGUCACAAAAAUCACUGGAGUCUGAUCGAUGAUGUUGCGCAUAAUCUCUGCGGAAAUGAAAUCCCUCAUCUGAACAUCAAGCUGCCCGGCUCUAGAACCUGAGCCAGAUCCCUCCAUGGCACCUGAACUGCUAACUGGUAUCUCGCGCAACGUCACCAUGCUGAAAACAUAACACAAUAAUUGUCAGAAUACUCACUGCUACUGAGGGAUCUCACACAUACUCCACCAUUCCCUGGUUUCAUCUUGGCCCCUCUUGAAUCAAGUACGGAUCCUCUGCUUUUAGUAGUACGGGCCCAUACUACCUUCCACAUCUAUCCGUACUUUCCUCAAGAAUUACCUCAACUCCACCAAGUCACUCUCCUGCUACUGAUCUCUGCUACUACCUUCCUAGGCUUGCCCUAGGGAACCUCAGACUCCACCCAAACCAGUCCUCAGCUGCUGAAGGCCUCCUUGUAAUGCCAAUUAUCCACCACCUGAAUACCAUCAAAUGCAAUGAGGCUCGAAUAAUCCUUCGAGUAAAAGACUCGUCCCUACAUUGGUUAGACUCAUACGAGAGCUGGGCAAUAGGGUCAAAUCCGGCACUCUGAGAUUAUUCAACCCUGACCACAUGUGACGUGACGUAUUCACCUAAUGGCUAACUCCUAUCACUCAGAGUCCCACAAAGCACAAAGCAAGAAGCAUUCGGAUAAAGGAAACAUACUCAUGCAAAACUAUUCUCAUAACAAGAAACUAUACUAGCAUACAAUGCUAAGGUCAUACUAUCAGGCAUAACCUACACAGACUAUCCUACUACUGUCUACUCAAUUCUAGGAUGCAAUUCUUCUGAAACACAUAAAGCAGACACAUAAGGCAUCCUCCUAGAUCCUUAGUCCUAUACUAGCAUGCUGUUCUACUGAAACUGAAACUGAACUCAUCUGAAACUGAAACUGAAACUGAUAACAUAACUUGUACGGGUAAUUUGGGAGUACUUACUUGAGCUCGGCUGAUUGCAUGCACCACACCCUUUUUUUCUUUUCAAAGUUCUUUUCUUUCUAACAAUUCUUUUCGCUUUUCCUAAAACUCUUUUCUUUUCUCAAAGUUCUUUUCGAAAUUGUUCUUCUUUUGAAAACCUUUUUACCGUUUCCUUAGUUUGAGUUCAGACACAACCGGAGUGUAUCCGAAUCCCUCAAACAAAGGCUCUGAUACCAACUUGUAACAUCCAAAAAUACGACGAAAAAAUUUUUGUUUUAAUAAUAAUAAAAUCAUAUACUGAACAUCAUAUCAUAAAACCAUACGUCAAAUAUCUCAAAUCAUAAUAAAAUAUCGUGAAACAACUGUAUCAAAUCAGACUAAGAAUCAAAACAAACUCCCAUGACAAAAACUGAAGUUGUGGUGUGUGCGAUGCCAUCAUCCCGAGCUCUUCCCUUUACUUGCGGAAGUACCUGAAACCAAAACUGAAACCGUAAGCACGAAGCUUAGUGAGCUCCCCCAAACUACCACAUACCAUACAAUACAUAUAAAUCACAUACUGGGCCUUGCCCACUGCAUCGGACCGAAGUCCGGAAACUGCAUCGGACUGAAGUCCGGAACUGACUGCAUCGGACCGAAGUCCGAAAACUGCAUCGGACCGAAGUCCGGAACUAACAGCAUCGGACCGGAGUCCGGAAUUGUCUGGGGCCUUGCCCCCUGCAUCGGACCGAAGUCUAGAAACUGCAUCGGACCGGAGUCCGGAACUGUCUGAGGCCUUGCCCCCUACAUCGGACCGCAAUCCAGAACUGACUGAACAUAGCAUAGCGUAAACAUAUCAACUAGCAUAACCAUAUAUACUGCAUACUGCAUCGGGCCGUAACCUAGAACACUUAACACAUAAAUCCUAUCUGAGCCACGAAGGCAUCAGAUAUACUCACUACUGCACCGAACCGAAGUCCGGAACUGCUGCCAACUUAACGGGUCGGCAUUGUGGCCGUAGACCCGUUCCUACUAGACGGAAACUCACCUCGUAAUCUGGCUACUGAAUGAACUGCUCGGGAAACUGUCUGCUGCUACUUCGGUAUCUCCCCGACUACAAUUUCCAUAAGUACACCCAAUCAAUUACUCAUAACUAUAUUGUGGGUAAAAUGACUAUUUUACCCCUGGUCAAAGUCAACCUAUUGGACAAAGUCAAUAUACAGUUGACCUGACUCGUCGAGUUGGGUCACUAACUCGUCGAGUCCUUACUCCCACUUUCUUGCUUCUGAUCGCUACUACUCGCCGAGUUUGGCAUAGACUCGACGAGUUCCUCUUCGCUUCUAUCACUCAGUCAAUCUGCAUCCGACUCGCCGAGUUGUAUGAACAACUCGUUGAGUCCUCCUUCAACACAUGAAUACUCUAGCUCUGACUCACCGAGUUGUAUGAACAACUCGUCGAGUCUGUUCUUGAGGUAUGAAGAUUACCUUCGACUCGCCGAGUCAGGGCAUUGACUCGCCGAGUCCCUACAUGAAUGAGUCCGAUCUCCGACUCACUGAGUCCACCUAUCACUCACUGAUUCCACUCGGCAUGACACAUGAAGCGGAAGAAAUCGAGGACUCGCGACCCGACUCGCCGAGUCUGAAGAACAACUCGCCGAGUCGGUUUCAUGCAACACUACUCCGAUGAUUCUGCUCAAAACUGAUGCAUGCAACUUACAGAUCUAGGUUCCUAAAGCUUGAUUAGCCUGUAAAGUUUCCAACUUUACGUGUAAAUAUGCAUCAAUACGGGUUUAAAGGCUCAAAAUGUACUAGAAGGAUAGAUCUAGGGUGUUCAUGCGAAAAGGGUUCCAUAAAGGCAGAAGAUUUGAGCUUCUGGAGCUCAAACAUAGAUAGAUCUGAAGGCUACUCGACAACACAUGCUUUCAAUAUUACUUACUAAGCCAAAAAUGAUAAAAACAAGCCAAACAAGAGAUCUAAUUGAGGAAUGACAAAGGUUUGAGCUUGAUACCUCAAAGAAGAUUCUGAUACCACCACAAACUCAGAUCUAACUGCUUCUCCCUUGAUUCCUCCUCUUCUCUUCUCUUCUCUUCUUCUAUUCCACAAAUGAACCACAACUUCACAAAGUGAGAAAAACACACCAAAAUGAUAAGGGUGGCUAGGGUUUUCGUAUGAGGCUCUUCUGUGGGUGAUGGGGGCUACUGAAUGCCCCAAAGGGUCGUUUAAAUAGGAUACAUACCCGGGGAUUUAGGGUUUCAUUCAGACUGAUGGACUCGCCGAGUCCAGGAUAUGGACUCCCCGAGUCGCCAACUUAAACAUGCUCGAAAUCCCAUCUUUACUCGACGAGUCAGGCUACUGACUCGUCGAGUUCCUCUUGAAACUUGAUUAAAUAAUAAUAUUAAAUAACAUACCAGAAUCGGGGCGUUACACCAAUGCCAAUUUUCCGGCGAGACACCACACUCUCUUCCCUCUUCUCUGUUUGAAGUUAAAAACACAGAUUCACAUGUCUAUGAGCGAAUCAAAUCCCCUCCCUUCCUUAUUUCAGUCAUCGAAAAACAACGUCCGACAACCACGACCUUCUUGAUUCUGUGUUUCAGAUUCAGAAAUGUAUAUAGAAACCUUUUCUGGAUGUGUUUGAUUUGUUCUUGUUCCAGAUUUGGAUGUGUUUUCUUUGUUCCAGAUGGAACAAAAGAACAUUCAACAUCGCCCACAACACCUCACUACCAGAAUUGAAACUGGGGUUGAGGUUGUUUGAGAACUGAUACAAAAAACUCAGAUAACAUCGAUUUCUAAAUCUAAGCAAGCCAUAACAAACCUGUAACAAAUUUUGUCUUAAGACCUCUUAAAAUCCAAAUCAGGGAAGGAAUCACUUCAUCGACGAAUCCAUCAGAUGAAUAAAACAAAUCCAUCAGAUUUCUUGUUCCAUCGUCAACAUAUCCAACUUGACAAAGGAGAGAAUGAUGGAUUUUUGUUCUUCAAGUACAUGAGGGUUACCGGCAACAAAGAGAUAGAGGCGGUAGGGUUUUUACACCUUCCAUUUUUGUUCCUAUUCAUCGGAAAAACUUGGCAUCAACGAAGAUGGUUACGGUGGAGGCGGCAUACUGAUUACCGACGACGACGGCGACAUCCGAGAGGUUGCAAGCGAUGGUUAUUUCCGGUCGUCGGUCAUGCAGCGACGGUGGAAGGUUGUGCAAAUUAGGGUUCUUCAUUGUUUCUUGAGAAAGAGAGAGGGAGUAUAGAAUGUGUGGAUGAGGGUUAGAAUGGGAUCGAUCAGAUGGGAUAUGGGGUUGUUUAGCCGUUUUUUUUUAAUUUUCUUUUUAAUGAUAAAAUAAAAAAAUUAAUGAUAAAUAAUUUAAAAGGAAAACUAAUAAGGGUAAUAUGGUAAGCACCGCGACAAAAUCUAAAUAUAAGGAUCGUCCGAAUUAAAAAAAUUGUUAAGGACCAAACAUGAAAAUUACACCAAAACACAAGAUGAUACGUGUAAUUUACCCUAGAAAAAAAAAUCGACCCAGAAAACUUUAACAAUCUCAAAUGUAUAGCCGACAUAGAGUGAAAGAGAUAAGGAUUGUUCUUUAAUACAUCAUUCUACCUUUUCACUUAUAAUUGUUUCAACCUGUCUUAUUUUCUUCUUCUGUAAUAUUCCUUUGAUCGCCCUAUAAUCUCCUACAUGGAAGAGUUUGAUCACCUCAAAAUUCAGCUGAAGGACAUAACAGAAGCCACCGACAACUUCAGUGAAAGCAAGCGAAUUGGAAAGGGUGGGUUUGGAGUCGUGUACAAUGGAGAACUAUCUCUCCCGAAGGGACGAACUACGGUUGCUUUUAAGCGAUUAGACCGUAGACUAGGUCAAGGGAAUAUAGAGUUUUGGAAGGAGAUCAUUACCCUUUCCAAAUACAGACAUGAAAAUCUUGUCCCUCUUAUGCAUUUUUGCAUUGAGGGUGAUGAGAGGAUCCUUGUAUACGAAUAUGCAUCUCGUGGUAGCCUCGAUCGCUAUCUAAACCAAAUUAGUGUGACAUGGAGCCAACGUUUGAAGAUAUGUAUUGGCGCUGCACGUGCACUAAACUUUCUUCAUGAUCCCAUGGAGACACAACAAAGAGUUCUUCAUCGAGACAUCAAAAGUUCAAACAUACUUUUGGAUGAAAAAUGGACAGCUAAAGUUUCUGAUUUUGGCUUGUCAAAACUUGGCCCUGCUAACCAACCACAAACAUAUCUUUUCUCCAAUGCUGUUGGUACGCCUGGGUAUUGUGAUCCGUUGUAUUUGGAAACGGGAUUUUUAUCAAAAGAAUCUGACGUCUAUUCUUUUGGAGUGGUGUUGUUUGAAGUAAUGUGUGGGAAGUUAUGCUACGAGUACUCUAAUGAUAAGAUAACAAUUUUAGUGCCUAAGUGGAAAAAAUGUUAUGAAGAGAAGAGAUUAGAUGAGAUUAUCUUUCAUGGUCUAAAAGAAGAAAUGGGAUCGAGUUCUUUGGAGUCCUUUUCUUCGGUCGCAUAUAAAUGUCUUGAGAAGGCUUCUGAGAAACGACCAAUGAUGGCUGAAAUAGUGAAAGAACUUGAGUUUGCACUUAAACAACAAGUAAGUGUUCUAUCUAGUUCGAUUUCUUCCAUGUUUAGAUUUAUUGUUCAAGAUUGUUCUUGAAAUAUAAUAUUUAUACAGGAGGUUUUUGAAGAUCUCGGAAAGAAAUUGGACUUUGAAGAAAUGAUCAGGAUUGCUCAUCUUGCAGUAGCUCCUCUAUCUUACAAAUCUCAAAGUCAACUGUACACGCUUUUCUUGAAAGGAUUCCUCGUUGGCGAUGGCAAAACAGUAAUCCGUUUCUUUUAUCAUAUGAUUCCACUUUGAAUAACGACAAUAUUAACAACCGAUUAAAAUCCAAUACAGUGGAGGUUGAAUUUACUUUUUUAUUUAUUCACAACAGUUUUUUAAAAUUGAAUUGUUUUGUUGGGCAGUGGAUAUCAAUAAAUAACAGUGGAGAAGUUAUCGAAAUGAUAUGUUCAAAAACGUGUAUCUCGGAACACCAACUUCAACCUUAUUCCACAAAAGAUUCGAGGUUAGUGAAUAUGCUUAUUAUCUACUGGUUUCCUUUCUCUUUUGUUUUAAUAAAUUAUAUAAAGAAAAUAUUUAAGAAAAGUACGUUUUUUUUUCUCAUCUCCUAUAUAUGUUCUCACAUUUAAGUUUUUUGUCGGUAAUUAUAUAUAAAAACAUCAUUUUAUUUUUCUGCUUUUUUUUUCUUUUAGUUGAUCAAUUAUUAAAAUAAAUUUAUAUUAGUCCUCUUCAACUUUUAUGGAAGACGGAGUUUUCUAAGCCACACACCUUUCCUAUUUCUUAUUCUGAAUACAUAUAGAUUUAUCUCUUCAACGUUGACUAGUUAAUGGGGUGCUCACCCUUUACUUUAAGAUAUUUCUCAAUACUUAAUAUAUAGGUGCUUUUGUUUUUUUAAAUUUAAAAAUCCUUACAGUCUUUUCUAUAUCUUUAAAAUAAGAUGUGAACCAAAAGAUUUAUGUAAAAAAAUGGUUUAUUUUUUAAAAAGUGCAAUCUUCAUAAAUAAUAUUAAAUCAUAUUAAUUAUAAUUAAAUUAUUGAUUUAAUUUAAUUUCUACUAUAUAGUUUUCAUUGGGUCUUUAUUAAGCUACUAUAAUUUAAUUUAGUUUCUACUAUAUAGUUUUCAUUGGGUCUUUAUUAAGCUACUGAUUAGCUUGGUGUUCGUAACCUAUUUUAGAAUGUAAUUCUUGUUUGUAAUAUACAGUAGUUGUUAUCAUAUCCAUAUAUAGGCAUAUAUUUACUCUCCACCCAUUAACAGAAUUAUAUAUUUUACAUUGUUUCUAUGAAAUUAAUCCGACAAUUUAAGUUAUUUUUAUACAAGUGUUAACAUUUAAAUUAACCAAAGACAAAAGCCUCCAUUAUUCUCAAUAAUGAAAUGCAUGAAUGAAUGAAAUGUUAUAAUUUAAUACAUGUGAUUGUAAUGUUUGCAGGUUUUUGAAUGUCUUAUUGUGCACAAUAAACAAUAAUUUCAAAGUGAAUGUGAGCACCCAAUUUUUGUUACCCGAUAUUACAUACAGCGUGAACCUUGUCUUCAAACAUUUUGGUAUAGAUAAUGGGACAUAUGUACCCUUCAAAUACAAAUUACAUGAGGAGAGAGACUAUCGAAAUUCAUGUCUUGCGCAUGUAAGAGAUGAUGGAUGGCUAAUGAUGGAAUUAUAUCAAUUUAGAAGCAACUGUAAGGAACAUAAUGUUAGGAUCGAAUUUGUGCGUCCGUUUCGUAUUGCUUCCUCAUUCUUUAUGUACAUACUUGAAGGCAUUGAAUUUCAUCCUGUAAAACAUGCAACUUAACCAAUAAAUUUAUUGUGAAUAGAUUUUUAGGUAUUAUUUUGAGCUUUAAAUUUCAUAUUUUUCAAAAAUAUAGUUGUAACAGCUUACGACAUAAAUCUUUUUGGAGCAUAAAUGUCAUCCAUUUACUUUGGGAGCUUAUUCUUUUCAAGGAUUUUUUUUAAUACAACAUUAUUACUCUCAACCAAUUUUAAUUUUAAUUUAAGGGUGAUGCUAAAAAUAACCUUUUAGGGUUUUUAUUACCUUGCAUUCUCGUCCGAAAUUUUUUCUCUUUUUCUUGAGAGGUGUUAUUCAGUUUAGUUUAUUGGUUUUCAGUUUAUUCGGUUUUCUAAAAUCUCUAAAUUACUAUAUGCAAACCAAAUAAGGUUCGGUUUAAUCAGUUUUUUAUUAUUCGGUUUUAAUUUUUUCGAUUUGGUUUACCAGCUCAACCGAAUAAAAACAAUGAGAUCAUUAUGUAAAAACAAAUUAAACAUGUAUAUAUUAUUUCUAGAAGAAUCUCUUACUCCUUCUAGCUGUGUUAUAGAGAGAAAGAUUAAUCAAGCCUAUAUUUUAUUAUUAAACAUGGAUUACAUCUUAAUGUUCAUGACUCUAAAUCAUUUUUCAGAUUCAAGAUCUGAUAUAACAUUUUGGUAGUUGAUGGUUUAACUAGAAACCAUCAAGAACCAUCAAUGCACUACAAAAAAUAUGCCAAUUAGUGACCAAAACGAAAUGGUCACUAACAAUAGAAUGAGUCGUCACUAAAUGAUUUAGGGACCAAAAUUUUGGUCGUCACUUUUCGUCACUAUAGGUCCGUCACUAAACCGAUUUAGUGACCAAAUAUAAAUAUGGUCACUAACUAGUGACUAAAAUAUAGUCGUCACUAAAUCUGUGACAACCCGCUUCGUCACUAAAUGUUGUCACUAAUCAAUGAAAGUCGUCACUAUUUUAUCUACUUAGUGACCAAUAAAAGUCGUCAUUGUUUUAUCCGAUUAAUGACCAUAGAAAGUGGUCACUGGUUUAUCUAAUUAGUGACUAUAACAGGUCGUCACUGAUUUAGCCUUUUAGACAAAAAAAAAAAGGGGGGGUCAAUAAUUAAUAAAUUAUUGAAAUAUUAAAUAUCAUUUUUAAAAUGAAAUAAAUAAUAUCCAAUUAGACCAAAGACAAGGAAAAUGUUAUAAAUGUUUAUAAUACGACAACAAUAACCAGAUAAAUCUUCAUAUAAGAACGGAUGAUUUCCCACCUAAAUUAUACAUGGAAUUAUAGAGUUGCUAACACCACAAAAGCAAAAUAGAAGUAAUCAAAUGAAAAGUUCCAUUUGUUGGGCAUCCUUAUGGAAUACUUUUCAGACUCCUGCAAAAUACAAUGAUAAAAUGGUCAUUUACCAAAUAGAAUGGUCAAAUGGUCAUUCAUUAAAUAGAAGGGUAAAAUGGUCAUGUACUCAAAGGAGAGUAGGAUAUUGUUUCUUUUGUUGGUAAGCAUUGUUUCUAAAUAGAAGGGUAAAAUGAUCAUUUGCUCAAACAAGAGUAAGAUAUUAUUUCUUUUGUGAGUAAGCAUUUUUCUAAAUAGAAGGGUUAAACGGUCAUUUAAUCUAACAAAAGUAAGAUAUUGUUUCCUUGUUAGCAAGCAUUGUUUUUAGAUAGAAGGGUAAAAUGAUCAUUAACCAAAGAGAAGGGUAAAAUGACCAUUUACUCAAGCAAGAGUUAGAUACUACUUCUUUGUUAACAAGCAUCAUUUCUAAAUAGAUGGGUAAAAUGGUCAUAUUAUAUGGUAAGCUAUCUAUAUAGGUGUCUCUAUUUUACUUAAUAAAAAAAGUCAAGGAAAAUAAAAGGGUAAAAUGGUCAUAUUAUAUGGUAGUAGGAAUGGAGGGUUGUUACCUUCAUAUAAGGCAAUGCAUUAUAGAUCAUAGCAAUUUCACUUUAGAUGCCAGACAGAUAUAACACAAGAAAGGUGCUAUACCUACACUCACACAACCAAAAAUUAAGAUUUUUAUAAAAGAGAGUAGAAAAAUAAUGAGAAAUAAAUUAUUGAACCUAGUUGACCAAAGAAUGAAGGUCAAACCUGAGCCAUAAAAGCCAGUAUGGAGUAGAACCAAAUGCCUCUUUUGUCCCAAAGAAAGAGUAUCUAAUAAUCUAAUUAUCAACACCAUAAAUAAUAUAUGGUUACAAAAUAAUGAAAUCAUUUAUUUUUUUCUUCCAUUUCUUCAAGUUCAAAUAUUUUUUUACCUCAGUGAUACUCCAACUAAUGACCAAAUAGCUAACAAUAGGAUGUGUUUGAACCUGUCACAAUCAAGUUUUUUUUUAUCUCAGUAAAACUGUAAUAAAACUGAUAAUUAUUAACUAAAAGGAAGAAAACUCUAACCUCAGGAAAACUAUAAAGGAUUCCCCACACUACAUACAAUCUUGAACUUAUUUGAGGCAAUGUUGCUGAAAUUGGGGAUCUUACCAAGCCUUUUUCAUGCCAAAAAACAACAUAAAAAUAAGAAAUUUAUACUUUCCUGAAAUUUAAAUUAUGGAAAUGAAAUAUGAAGUCAUAGCUUAUCAAUGAGAUAGAAGUGUAGAACUUACCUAUGAAACCAUGUAGUAUCUGUUUCAAAAAGUAAGCAAACAAGAAAAGAAAGAAAGACAAGUUAAAAUAUAUCAAAAAGAUGAAAGCAAAAGGGAAUAUUUUUAACAAGAAAAGAAAGAGAGGCACCUCAGAUAAUGGAACACCUCUAGCUGUAACAAAUUCAUCCUUGAAUUGGCCGUAAAUUAAUUCAAAUACUUAAUAGGAUUACAAAAACAAAUACUAUGACAAAAAUAUUAACUUGUUGAAUUGAAAAAAAUAAAAACAAAAAUUGACCAAUUUUGACUUUUAUGGUACCUUUCCUUUUCACUAAAAAAGAGCAUUGUUUUAAUAGAGUAGCAAUUGACAUUAAUGAGUUAUUUGAAAUGGAAGCCCAUAAUAUAUCUUCAUCAAUACCCUACACACAAAAUUUAUAAGAAUUUCUCGUAAUAUAAUUCGCAUUUUUCGAAUUAAAAUAAUCAUACAAAGUUACAAACCUCACGAUUCAACAAGUAUUUCCAAAAUCGUUUCAUGGUCCCAUAUUCAUGAGGAUAUGAACGACCUACUUUUUGUUUCUGCAAAAUGUAUACCAACAUAAAAUAUGAAACCAAAUUUUAAAAUAUAUAUAUAUAUANUUGUGUUGAGAUAGCAAUGCCUUUAUAUCGUCGUUUGAAAGAAAGAUCGGGAGAAAAGUCAACAAUAAGUGUUCCCGAAUUGAUAUGUAAGUAAAGUUAUACAAUUAAAAUAAAUAAAUAAUAAAGAAAUUGGUUUCUUGCCUUUAUAAAUAGAAUCAAAAAGAUCACGGGUCCCCAAGCAGAUAAGCAAAGAAUUACGGGCCCACUAAGUCCCCAAUGUGUAACUAACAUUGGCCCAACCUAAAUUCAAGAAAUAGCAAUGUACUUUUAUUUAUUUGUGUAUUUAUAAAUUUAUAAGUUUUUUAUAAAAUCCAUGAGCAAAACUUACUUGGGUAAGCUGUGGAAUAUUCUUCUUCAAAGAUUCAAGCUUUAAACUUGCCUUCACUUUCAGGAAUGUAAUCAGAAAAAAAAUGUUUCAAAUGCUCAUCAUCUUUAAAGAAAAAAACAACGAUAUUACUUUUUAUAUAAUCAUAAUAAACUAUAAUCAAUACCCCAGAUAACUCUGUCAACUGGAUAUCAUCAAUCUUGAAUGUAAAUAUACUUGGAAUCGGUUUAAUUAUAGAAUGUCCAAGUUUAUUAGCAAGAUUAUAACCCUGUAACAAAACAAUCAUGUCUUAGAAAAAUUUAAUCAUCAUAUUUUGAUAUAAUAAAUAUUUCAAAAAGUGUAACAAAAAACCUGUUGACUGCUGCCACUAGCAAUUAAUCAGUAAUCAGCUUCAAAAAAAUCCACAUAAUCAAUCGUUCGUUUCUCAAUUUUGAGUAUGAAUUUUCCACUUUGAGAAAUAGAAGCUGAUGUGACAUAUUUUCCUGUCUGCAGUGUAACUAAUUUAACAAACAAAAUUUAAAAAUGUGAACAUAUGAAUACCAACAAAUAAACAUAAAGUAUAGACAUAUUAUAGUUAUAAGAACAAAAAAGUUAUACCUCCUCUUUGUCUUGCUUCAUUUAAAAGGCAAUCAACUAUUGUAGAUGAAUUGUCACUCACAGGGAAGACCCUUCCAUCUUCCUCAAUCUAAAGGCAAGAUUGUAAAAUUUAGUAGAAACUAUGUCUAUAUAUUGUAUGAAUGACUAAUAAUAAUGUCAAGAUUCAAGAAAGCUUACAUUUGUUUCCUACUUCCAUAUUCAUAAUCAUUAGGAAACAAGAAUAUUUUUAACACAUUUAUCCCUUAAUCCCUGCCCUCCAUACAUGAAAACUUCAUUAAGACAUUAACUUUAUAUAUAUAUAUAUAUAUAUAUAUUUAAUAUUCUAAUAGAAUAAUAUUAUAUGUUGUAUGUUUUUAUAAUCUAUAUGUAAAAUAUUUUAAUAGAAUAAUAUUCUAUGACAUUGUAAGUUAUAUGCAAGAUAUUCUAAUACAACAAUGCCUAAUUAAAUUUUGGCUUUUUUUAAUACUCAAUGAUAUGAUAUNAUAUAUAUAUAUAUAUAUAUAUUUAUAUAUAAAUGGAGCUUUCUAUUUCAUAUGGGAUGAUUGAAGAGGUUAACUGGUUUACUUUGGUCUGUAACUCCAUCAAUUUCAAAUCCUUGGCUGGAUUAUUAAGCUUUCUGUUUGAUUCUUCCAAAUCUUUUAUUCUUCUCAACAAAUCCAAAUUGUAUUCUCUGUUUUUUGUUUCGAGUUGUGCACGCUCACGAAGAAUCAUUAUUAAUCGUUCGAUGAACACAUCAUAGUUGUUUAUUUCUAGAUGAUCCAGUUGUUCAUUUCUUGUAUCAUCUUCACUUUCUUCUGUAGAACCAUUCACAAUUUUCUGAAGGUUAUCAAAGACUUCAUGUAUUACAUAGGCAGCAAGCUCAUUCGUUUGUUCUAAAUCCUUGAUUUUUUCACUUAUUUCCUUAAAAGAAUCUGAAAGUGAGUUACGGGUUUUGAGAGAAUCUUCAAGCUUUUCUUGCAAAUCUUUGAUUACUUCAAUGGCUGCAUCAACAGAAGUAGCCACACGAGCAAAGAUAUUGUCACCAACAAUUUCUUCACUUGAAUGAAUGAUGGAAAUGCCCCCAAUUGAUGCAUCAAGCUUUCUGUGAAGCAGCUCCAUCUGGUUACUGAAAGAAGCCAUGUCAUCCACUUGUAACUGCAAUUCAUGGAUUCUUGAUUCAGAGUUGUGAAGCUUUUCUGUAAGCUUUGAGUUUUGUGUUUUAGUGAUGAUACUUGUAAAUUGUUGAUUCUGAUGCUUUAUUCCAUAAACAAACACUCUACAGAGCCAAGUCUAGGGUUUCGAUAUCACAAAAGAGAAGUAUACCCUAUUUGACCUCCUCAAAAAAGCAAUCACGGAAUUAAAUAAUAGCAAAUGCAAGAGAAUAUAAUUGAGCUAAUUCAUUACCAUUGAGUGUACAUAUCCAGAAAAACGGUCUUAUCACCGGCGGCAUUAACGAUUGGCCAAAAUGUAUCCUUAUCAACCUCGGUAACUUGACCUACAACGACCGUUGGACCAGACAUCUCCAAGCUCGAUCUCACCUUCACCGAAGACCUCAAGUUUUUUCUGGUUUUACUAUCGAUCGACUUGGUUGAAGUAACGGAUCGGUGAACGUCUCUGUCGAUGGUAAACUGUUUAGUCGGCCAUGAUGACAGUGAUCAGUUGACAGCGGUGGCGGAAUCGUCCGGCAAACAUGAUGAAUUUGUAACGCCAUUAUAGCGAUGGAGGGCGGUUAUCUCGGAGUAUCUGAAUGCUUGGAAGGAGAUCUGACGGAGAAAGCUUGAUGGUACGAUAUCUUGUGUAAAAGUACGGAGUUGCCCUUGAGUUCGAUGUUGUACCGGAGAUUGUUGUGUAUCAAUUUAGGGCAAAAGAGAUGUUGAGUCGGUUUAGGGAUAGUACUCUUUAUUGGUAGUCAAAAUUAGUCAACCUUGUUUAUCCUCUUGUUAAACCAAUUAAUCAUGUUUACAAAAAUUAUCUAUAUAAUUAAUUUGGUCAAAAUUAGUCAGGCUCCUUAUUUAGUCAAAAUAUAAAUACAACACACUUUCUCAAAUGUGUUUUUCUUUUUAUUUUUUCAACUUUUUCCAAAUAUUAUUAUAGUAAUAUUUUUGAUAAAGACCAGUCAAUAAUGUAACCAGUCUUUGCGAAAUUAUANGACCACUGCUUUAUAGUCACUAAUUGUUUUUUCUUAUAAUUCAUCAGUGACCACUAUUGGGUGGUCACUAUUGUUUUUUCCCAUUUAAAGUGUAGACGUAAUAAGAGUGUGUAGUUUUAAAUAAGAGUGGUCAGUGACCACUAUUUUUGGUCACUAACCAUUUUUUUUGUCACUAAGCUUCUAACAUAUUGACCAUUAUUCUUAGUCACUAUAUAGUUAACAUAGUGACAAUUAUUUUUAGUCACUAAAUAGUUGUUAUGAUAUGAAACAAAAGUAGUUUAAUUUUCUCGCGUUUAGUGACUGUGUUAGUGACCACCACAUGUAAUUCGUCAUUAAAUUUGUAGGAUUACCAAAAUCCAGUGACCACUUAAUUUCUAGUGACUAAAAGAUGCUUUCAGUGACCCAAUUUUAGGUUGUCACUAAAAAUUAGUCACUAAUAAGGACUUUUCUUGUAGUGAUGAGAAAUUCCACAUUUCUCAAUUCAUAGAUGAUUUAUACCAUUACUGUGAACAAUUUGUGUUUAUGAAUAGCUAUUAUUCAUGUUCAACAAUUCCUUGUUGAAACUAGUGCCAACAAUUGUUACAUCAGGCAAUGGUUCUUGAACUACUUCAAGUUCCACGUGCCUCCCACUUGCUUUGUCAUUAGAAGAUUGUUUUUUGCUAACUCAGCUUUCAGAGGAAUAAAUGAACUUAUUCUUUGUAGGUUUGUAUAGAAUAAUCUAAAUGCCCUUUUAGAAUAUUCUAGAAUUAUGUAAUUUGUUGGUGUUUGUAUUCUAGAUACAAUUAAUAGUGAUUGAAGUAUAAUCUCAAAAAGGUUAAAAGGAGUACAUUUCUACUGAUUAGAAAGUAAACUAUAUCAAGUAAAGUUUAAUUCACCAUUUAUCAUCACGAAGGCUUUAGAAGGUAUUAUUAGGAAUCAUUUAUAUAUAAAUAAGAUUCGCAUAUGUUAAAUAAACUACAUUAUUUGCCUUCAAAGAUCCCUUUCUUGAAGUUGGAAUAUGUGGAUUUCAUAUAUACAAUAAAGAUAACAAUGUCAUGGAUAAGCUUGAUUUAAAACAUGUUUAUAAAAAUAAUUUUAUAAAGUUUGAGAAACUUUAAUAAAAUGAACUUAAUAAACUUUUGAUCUUUAAAAUGGCUACCAUCUUCAUUCUUUUUACAUUUUUAUAAAAAUAAACUAUUUCUAAAACUACUCUAUUACUUACAAAAAUUAACAAAAUAAAACUAUCUAUUUAAUUAUUACAUACCAUAUGAAUAAAUAAAUAAUUACAAUAAUUUUAAAUAAAUCAACACAUGCAACAACACAAAGGUCCAUGACUAGUUUAUGCACAUCAUAUAUAUAUUUAUACACUAAAAAAUAUAUAAAACAACUCUUUGUUUUUCUAAGACAACUUUUAUAACCAAAAAGAUGCAUGUAAACUUUUGGUCAAAAAAAUAACAAUUAUAAACAUUUUAAAGUUGUCAUAGAAAAUAUGUAUGGAUUUUUCUUGCAAUGAUAAAACCAUCCAUGUUUUCCAAAAACAAAGAUUUCAUCAACUAAACAAAUAAUCUAACUAAUCUUGCAAAAAUGGCUCUAAUACCAAUUGUUGGGUUUUUAUUCAAAAAUCUGGUUUCACAACCGGUAAUAUUGACAACGGAAUCUUUAAAAUAGUUGAAUAAAACUAAAACUAUUUUACCCACCAAGGAUCAUUUUGCAAGAGUUAGAAAGAUUAAAAAAAUCAUAAAAGGGAAAGCAUAACAACCUUUGAAGACUUUGAUCCUCACGGUAGCUUGGAAGUUGAUGAAGUGUGGCAUGAAACUCUAAAACAAGAGUUCUCUACAAGUAUCCACCAACCAAGAGUAGAACCAUCAAAACAUGCUAGUAUUCACAAUUUGUUGUUCAUACGUCUUUGAAAUAUAUACCAAAUAUAUGUUCAAAGGUAAAGCAACAAACGGACAUUCUUUGCAUUCGAAAUGCAAGAGAAUACAGGAGAAGAAGAGCUUGCAAAGAUCGAAAUUUGGUAGCCCUUUAGAGCCUCUCAUGCUCAUGGUUUUGACUCCGAAGAAGAAGGAGAAUGAGGCUUGCAAGAAGUGUUUCAAAACCCUUCCAUGCUCUCUCUUAUAUAAUGGCCAAAAAAUGAAAGGAGACCAUAAAUUAAAAGGAGAGACAACUUUGUCCUUAUCAUGGCAAAAGAAGACCAUGCUUGGUCUCCUUACAAUUUUCGAAAAAGCUAGCCAUAAUGAAGACAAAAGUUGCCUUAUGGCUAGUUUAUAUAUAUAUAUAUAUAUAUANAAUAAAAAAAUAUAUAAGGACUAAAUCGAUUGUGAGCCAUCACAAAAUUAUCAAUUCCAUUCCUAAAGGGACAUAAGGGACUUUUAUCUUGUAAAGUCUUCAUGUGCUCCCACUUGGUUCAACACAUUGUAGAAAGUUUAUAAAAAUAAUUUUAUAAAGUUUGAGAAACUUUAAUAAAACCAUCUUUAUAAACUUUUGAUCUUAAUGGCCACGAUCUUCAUUCUUGUUACAGUUUUUAUAAAAAUAAACUAUUUUUAAAACUAAUCUAUUACUUACAAAAAUUAACAAAAGAAAACUAUCUAUUUAAUUACUACAUACCAUAUGAAUAGCUAAAUAAUUACAAUCAUUUUAAAUAAAUCAACACAUUCAACAACACAAAGGUCCAUUACGAGUUUAUGCACAUCAUACAUAUUUAUAUACUAAAAAAAUAUAUAAAACAACUCUUUGUUUUUCUAAGACAACUUUUAUGAACAAAAGGAUGCAUGUAAACUUUUGGUCAAAGAAAAACAAUUAUAAACAUUUUAAAGUUGUCAUAGAAAAUAUGUAUGAAUUUUCUUAAAAAGAGAAAACCAUCCAUAUGAUUUCAUCAACUAAAAAAAUAAUCAACCUAAUCUUGCAAAAAUGGCUCUUGUUGGAUUUUUUUAUUCAUAAAUUUGGUUUCACAACCCGUAAAAUUGACAACGGAAGCUUUAAAAUUGUUGAAUAAAACUAAAACUAUUUUACCCACCGAUGAUCAUUUUGCAAGAGAUAGAAAGAUUAAAACAAACAUAGAAGGGAAAGCAUAACAACCUUUGAAGACUUUGAUCCUCAUGGGAGGUUGGAAGUUGAUGAAAUGUGGCAUGAAACUCUAAAACAAGAGUUCUCUACAAGUAUCCACCAAACAAGAGUAGAACCAUCAAAACAUGCUAAUAUUCACUUGUAAUUUGUUGUUCAUAAGAUUUUGAAAUAUAUACCAAAUAUAUGUUCAAAGGUAAAGCAAAAAAGGGGCUUUGUCUAGCAUCAAAAUGCAAGAGAAUGGAGGAGAAGAAAAGCCUUCAAAUUCUGAAAUUUGGCAACCCCUUAGAGCCUCUCAUGCUCACGGUUUUGAUUCCAAAGAAGAAGGAGAAUGGGGCUUGCAAGAAGUGUGUAACAAAACCCUUACAUGCUCUCUCUUACAUAAUAGCCAAAAGUGAAAGGGAGACCAUAAAACAAAAGCAUGGACAACCUUGUUCCAAGCAUGACAUGAAUUGAAUAAACAAUUCAAAAGUGAGCCAUGCUUGGUCUCCUCUUAUAUUUUCAAAAAAGCUAGGCACAAAAAAAGACAAAAAUUGUCUCAUGGCUAGUUUAUAUACACAUGCAUGUUAUCUUUAUAAAAAUCAAUCAUUUUUACAAAGAAUUCCCAACAUUUAUAUAACUAGUCAUAUAUAAAUGUCUUAUUUUACAUAAAAUUAUCUGUUAUAUAAAUUGUAACUAGCUUAAUUUAUAUAAAACUAUCUUUCGUAUAAAUUAAACUAGUUUAUUAAGAUAUAAAUAUAACUUAUAAAUAAUCAUACUUUAUGAUAUAUUUCAUAAGUUGUUAUUUCUCCAAUAAAUAUUAUUUCCACAAAUAAUAAAUUCCAAAUUAGUAAAAUAUUAUUUCCAUGAAAUAAGAAUUUUCCAAUUAAAUACAAGUGUUGAUAUAUUUAUUAAUAAUCAAAUUAUACUAAUAAAUAAUCAAUUCACGGUAACUUGUUAUAUGGUGUGACCCUAUAGGAUUAUAUAUUAUUAGCAAUGUCAUUCUAUAAUGACUGUUAGGCAUACUAGAUCUUUCAUGCUCCAAACGCAUUAAUGGAUCUCAUGAAUCGCGUAUGCAGACCCAUGUUGGAUCGGUUUGUGAUUGUGUUUAUUGAUGAAAUCCUGGUCUAUUCCAAGACCCAGGAGUAGCAUGAGUUGCACCUGAGGGAGGUAUUGGAGACUUUGAGGAGGGAGAGAUUAAGUGUGAAAUUCUCCAAGUGUGAGUUUUAGUUGCACGAGGUGCAGUUUCUGGGGCACCUUGUCAACCAGAACGGUAUUCUGGUAGAUCCGGCCAAGAUUGAGGCGGUGAUGAGGUGGGAGGUUCUAAGGUCUCCAUAUGAAAUUUAGAGUAUCCUUGGAUUGGCGGGUUACUAUCGGAGAUUCAUUCAGGAUUUCUCCAAGAUAGUGGUUUGCUUGACCUGACUGACAAAGAAGACUGUCACGUUUCGUUGAGGGCUGAGCAGCAGGCAACUUUUGAGACCUUGAGACAAAAAUUGUUUGAGGCACCGAUUCUGACCCUGCCAGAGGGUGUUGAGGACUUUAUGGUAUAUUGUGAUGUUUCGAUCACGGUUUUAGGUGUAAUGUUGAUGUAGUGGGGUCAUGUGAUUCCGUACGCGUCGACGCAGCUAAAGCCUCAUGAGGCGAGUUACCCUACACACGAUUUGGAGUUGGGGGCAGUGGUGUUUUCCCUCAAGAUUUGGCAACAUUGAUUCUAUGGGAUAUGUUGUAACAUCUACAUGGAUCACAAGAGCCUGAGGUAUUUGAUGGAUCGACCAAAUUAGAACAUGAGGUAGCACAGAUGGUCGGAUGUGGUGAAGGAUUAUGAUUGUGAGAUCCUUUAUCACCCAGGGAAGGCCAACAUGGUGGCCGGUGCUCUCAUCCGCAAGGUAGUCGUGGCUCUGAUCAGGGAUUUAUGUUUCAAGAUGACAGUGAUUACCCUAUUAUUAGAGAAGAUUCUAGAGGCUCAAAUUGAGGCUAUGAAGGAAGAGUACCAGAAGAGUAAGUGCAUUGUGGGACAAGCGGCUUUUUUCGAAUAUGAUAGUCAGGGGUUAUUGACCCUUCAUCGUAGGGUGUGGGUUCCAUACUGGGGUGUUGCGCGGUAGAUGUUGAUGGAAGAGGCGCACAAGUCGAUAUUCUAUAUUCAUCCCGGAGUGACAAAGAUGUAUAGAGAUCUCCGACCUGAUUAUUAGUGGUCGUGUAUAAAGCGGGAUGUGGCACGCUAUGUGGAGAUGUUCUUGACUUGCAGGAAAGUCAAGGCCGAGCAUCAGCGACCCCACAGCAAAAUGGAGCCAUUGGAUACUUCCAUUUGGAAAUGGGAAGAGACUACAAUGGAUUUUAUAACUAAAUUGCCUCGGACGGCGCACAGAAUGGAUUCGAUAUGGAUUAUCGUGGACCGAUUAAACAAGAGCGUGCAUUUUAUCUCAAUCCAGGAGAGUAUCCCUACAGAGAAGUUGUUAGACAUCUACACUCGAGAGGUUAUGGAACGUCAUAGGGUGUCGGUUUCUGUGAUCUCUGAUAGGGAUGUUCGGCUCACUUCUAGGUUCUGGAAGAGAUUUCAUGAGGAGUUGGGUACUCGUCUGCACUUCAAUACGACUUUCCACACUCAAACUGAUGGCCAAAGUGAGAAGACUCCCCAGACCUUGGAGGAUAUGCUCCAGGCUUGUGUAUUAGAUUUAAGUGGGAGUUGCGAUACGUAACUCCCUUUGGAGAAGUUUUCGUAUAACAACAGUUACCAUGUCAGCAUUGCUCGAUCUCCUUUUGAGAUGCUCUACAGGAAGAAGUGUAGGACCUCGAUAUGUUGGGAUGAGGUCGUUCAAUGAGUUAUGGGGAGUACCGAUGUGGUAAUCAAGACUACCGAGAUGAUUCAACAGGUUUGUGGUAGACUUAAGAUAGCGCAGAGUCGGAAGAAGAGAUACGCAGGCAGACUCUAGUCAGACUUGGAGUUCCAAGUCGGGGAUACGAUACUCCUAAAGGUGUCACCUUGGAAAGGCAUCAUCCGGUUUAAAAAGUGGGGUAAGUUGGGUCCCCAAGUAUAUCGGUCAUUUCCGGGUUGUAACUCGGGUGGGUAAAGUAGCGUAUCGAUUAGAUCUUCCAAAGGAGCUCAUUUAGAUUCACAGUUCUUUUCACGUCUCUUAGAUGUGGAAGUGUUUGGUUGAUGAUUCCCUAGUAGUUCCAUUGGAGGAUAUUCAAGUGGACGACUGCCUGAACUACAAUGAGAGACCGGUGGCGAUCCUUGACCGGAAGAUGAAUACCUUGAGGAACAAGGUUGUGGGGUUGGUAAAUGCGCAGUGGUAGAACCGGAAGGGUUCCGAGUGAACAUGGGAGCCUGAAGAAGAUAUGAGGGAACAUUACCCAGAGUUAUUUGUAACAGCAGACUUCGAGUACAAAGUCUGAUUCAAGUGGGGGAGAAUUGUGAAGCCCUAAUCGGCAGGUAAAAACUUUUGCAGUUAUUUUUAUUAUGCAAGGACUAGACCGGAGUACAUUGGGCGUACACAAGGUAUUCACCGCAUACACCCAUUCAUGCAUGAAGCGAGGAUGUCCCCUGCAUACUCUGGGCGUACCCAUGCGUACACGGGGCGUAUGCAAGCCAGGGGCAAACCCUAAUUUUUAGGGUUUCCACCCUAUUUAAGCUCAUUAAGUCCCUCAAACCCUUCACCUUAUCAGCUUCCAUUGACUUUUGAGAUAAUCUCGAAACCCUAGCCAUCUUAAGAGCAUUCUUGAGCUUACAAAGAGUUUUUUGGUGUUCUUUUGUGAUCUUGAAGAAGGAGGCUUGAGGAGAUCCAUUAGACAAGAAGGAGCUUGUAGAUCCAGAGGUUGUUCAUCAUUUCUAGCUCAUUGGAGGUAUAAAGUCUUUAAAUUGUUCAUUCUAAGUCUUGAUCUAGGUUUGGGGAAGAACUUAGCGGCUUUUGGUCCUAUAACUUGAUCUCAUGGAGUAUGGACUACUCCAGACCAUUUGAGUUUUCCUUUGGGAUCUUAAGGGUGCAUGAAGUCAUAAAAAUCGAAUCAUUGAGGUUAGAACUCAACCAUUCAUGAGUUGGUGACCUCUUAAGGGAGAUAGAAAGUUUAAUUCAUGGUUUAAGUCUAAUUAAGUCAAUCAAAAGCAUAAAGUUUGCAACUUGAUGGGUUAAUACACUUUAAUGACCAUGGAUAUGAAUUUGGACAGCAAAUGCUUAAUGGGUUAAGACAAUUCGAGAAGGUUGGUUUUUCGACCAAUACGUCGGGCUUACUCAUGAGUACGCUAUGCAUACUGGGCCAGCGCCCCGAUUCUGGUUCGGUGAUAGUGAUGUAUAUCGGGUGGACGAGUUAGGUACGUUGCACAUAUGUCCGUUUGUGAGCCUUAUGAUUUUUGGGCACGGGAUUAGAUGGGCUUUUAGCCUUGUUUGAUUUUGGGCCUUAGGUUUAAUUGUGGAAUCAAAUCAUUAGUGGACUUAAGACCAUCAGGGGGCUAUUGGUCCAAGGUUGGGCCUUAGGGUCCCUUUUAGUUGCACUUAGAAUUCCUUUUCAGCUAGUUUAGAUUCGGGCCUUAGUGGGUUAGGCCCAAUAAGGCAAGGGUUAAGAAGCCAUUUUAGGGUUUGGUAUGAUAUCCCCAUUUUCACAGCCAGAAAAAACCGAUUUGUUUAUGCUUUAUAAAAAUCAGAGUACUUAUUUUAAUAAAAAUGUUAUGGAAUUUGUUCCUAGAAAAACAUGAUAAAUACGUUAUCAAAGCAUUUUCAAAGAAAUGUAUUUUUAUUCAUUUAAAACAUUUGGGAUGUCAUUGUCAAUACAGAAACAUAAACAUAAACAUAACUUACAUUCAUUUAUACUAGUGAUCUACAUCACUUUUAAAUCUCUCAGUGCAAAAUAGCUUCGUAUCGACACAUGUGAUACAAAUAAGCUGGAGUGGGUCAGGUUGGGAAACCUGGUGAGUACAUAGGGUUUUCAACCCACAAUAAUAUAAUUAUUAUAUUUAAACAUCAAACAAUCAACCCGAUUACCCAUACCCGUUAUCUUCUUUGAUAUUCCUUAAAGAAUUAUCUUAAGGGUCAUCUCCUAUAUCAUAUUUAUCUCUUAUCUUUUUACCUCACAUUUCCUUAUAUGCUCGUUCCUAAGGCAUGAAUAUGUAGUUACAACGUCGCCUGAACUCAUAAUUCAUAGUAAGGGUUAGAGUAUCAUCACAUAAAUAUACAGUCACAACAUCACCUGGACUCGUAAUUCAUCACCUACAGGUUAUAAGUUUGCUGGUGUUUCCACAGGUUGUCCAGAAUAGUAAGUGGUCACCAUCUAUACUCUAGUAGAUGACUACAUCUCCAAAUUGUCGGACGAGGUUAUAGUAUCUUUCAUCCUACAUCAUCGAUUCAUCAUCACCUAUCCAUCACCUAAUUAUCAUCACCUUCCUAUUAUCACCUAUCUCUCAUCAUUUUAUUUCAUCACACACCAACUAUUUCAUCUACCCAUGUUUUAUCCCAACAUAUUUGUAGAUAUAAAAUAAAUAUAUAUUUAAAUCAUUUAAAACAUGUAUAAAAUCAUUCAUCCAUCAUAGACAGCAAGUAUUCAGAUAAUAUGCACACAUAGCACGUAAUUUAUAUAAAAUACUUCAUAUCUAUGUGUAAGAUGAAAGUGACCAUUCACUCACUUGAAAAGGUGGUGAAUCCAAACUCAGACAACACUUCGCUUCGUAAAAAUAAUUUCCUUCAACGAAACCUAGUAUUAUUACCACUAGGGUUUAGUCUAUUAUUCGUCGAGACUAAUUAAUAGUCUAAUUAUUAUUACUUUAUAUAAGCGUUAAACAAUACUUAUAUAACCCAUAAUAAUAGUCCAAGUACUUAUUAUAAGCUCCUAAUAACGUUACUAUAAUUAAAUAAAUGAUAUAUUAAAAAUAGCGUAGGCGUAGCUCACUUACAGCGGGUUUUAUAGAAAACCGGGCUNAGCUCACUUACAGCGAAUUUUAUAGAAAACUGGGCUUUGCUUGGAGCAGCGUUCCCGAGCCGAAAAGCUCUUCUUCUCGGAGCCUUCGGGCACUCCUGGGCUUUCACCUCAUGCUAGGGAGGUUCCCUCGGCUUUUCGAGGGGUUUUGGGGCUAAAGAGAGAUUCUAGAGAAAGAGUAAAGAGAAGGAGAAUGGGAAAGGUGUGAAGAAAAUGAGGGUGGGAGAGGUUCUAUUUAUAGGGUGAAAAUGACUGAACUUUGUGCCACAUGUCACCAUCUAGUGGCAAGACUUGGGGAGAAAGCAAUGGCCAAGAUUGUGCCACAUCACCCAUUUUCGCACAACACACUUUCGACUUCUAAAAUUCGUAACUUUCACAAACGAACUCCGUUUUUGACGUUAUUUAUAUCCACGCGUAGGUAAAAAUAAGAUCUACAACUAUGGUCUUCCCAAAUCCCGUGGAACAAGCUUUCCACAUGAAGAUGAUAUUCCACGAUUCGAUCGGGGAACAAGAGAUCAUGCUUCACUUCCUCCACCUCCUCCAAUUAUUCUCCCUAACCCACAAGUUCGAAGGCUUGAAAAGUUCAAGCUCACUCAAGCCCUUUUGGCAAGUAAACAUGAAGAAGGAAAGNACACGUCUUAGAGAUGAAGUCACACAUUGAUAGGUUAAGGAUGUUGGGUGUCGAGAUUUCAGGUAAGUUGGCUAUUGACCGGGUUCUUCAGUCGCUUCCUGAAUCAUAUAGUGAGUUCGUUAGAGAGUACUAUAUGAUAGAUCAUGACGUGACCCUAUUUGAUUUGACCUAUUUGCUUAUAGCUGUUGAAUCCGAAAUGAUUUGGCGAGCUAGUUAAGCAAAUUUGUCUGGUAAAUCAAACUCCCAAACUUCAAUGGAUAUUGAAAUGGUGACAUUGGAGAUCCAGAAAAGGUAGAUUCUGAGAUAGUUCCUUGUGCCAUUCCAAAAGAGUCCAUUUGCUUCUAUUGCCAAGAGAAGGGGCAUUGGAGACGAAGCUGCCCUAUUUACCUAAGAGAUCUAAGAAAUGGGAGAGUCAACAUAUGGCUCUACUUUAGGUAAAAUCCAUUAACUAUCUCUUUUAAGUUCCUAUUCUAGAUUCUUAAUACAUGAUGUGAUAAGAUUGCAUUUUGAUGUUUUUGAAAGAUCGAAGAAAAGAAAGGAAGCUUAAGGGAAGAAGUGAGCGGAAUCUAAUCAUGGCGAAAUGGAUUUCGAUCGCAUUACUUAAAGAUUAGAUUCUUGAGCUACUACUUGGAGUUAGAAUAGAUUGCUUAAGAAUAUGUAACAACAUAGUUUUUUCAGUUGAAUUGCAUUGUAAGGACAAAUUUUUCUGCAAUAAAAUAAAUUUUGAUUUUAUAUUAUUUAUUUAUCCUUGCAAUGACGUUUGUAAGUUUCUAUUAUUAGCAAUAAUGGAUUUGAUUCUUAAUUAUGUUCUUUGUGGAAAGGUCAAGAAUUUACCAAAUAGGGAAAGUUUCUCAUCCCCCAAGUUUCAAUUGGACAGAAACUUGGAAUCAUACAACUUGGUUGCAUGAUGAAUGAGAAAUUUCAUAUUUGGAAAUUAGACUAAUUCGUUGACAAAGUGUCAAGUGAAGGACUAGGAGAUCGAGUACACAAGGUUGUGUGUUGAUCAAGUCCACCACAAGAGUGACAAAGAUAUUCAUCAUGAUUUACUAAAGGUUUAGUAAAUAUGAUUAUACUUAUAAGAUUAAGUGUAAUUCCAAGUUGAUUGAAAGAGUUUAAAUCAAUAGCAGAACGAAUAAAGAAGAAUCAAAUAGGCAGAAAGAUAAAAGUUUCUCAAUUCUAAAAAGAAGGGAGAGUACUUUUAUUAUGUUUUAUGAUAGGUCUUAAUGAUUAAUAACCAUAUCUCAAUUGAUCCUCUAAGUGAGUCUUAGUGCAAUUGUAUGUCUGAGAAGAGGAAUUGAGAAUUGAAGAAAUGGUUAAAUCAAGAAGUCAAUCAUACUUCGUUCCAAAAACAAGUCUUAGAGUUAAGAUUGUGACAUUGAGUGACAAGUCUUAAGAANUUAUAACACUCAUCAAAUGUGGAAUUUGGAAAAGAUUUUCUUAUUCUUGCACAUUUGAAAUUGGAAAGUUGUGAUGUCUUGGAUAAGACAAAGACCAACUAGGACCAAUUUUGUGAAGUGUUUUGUUUUGAUAAAAGCUACUCUUGAAUAUUUGUUUGUCGAGAAAUGUUUAUUAAAAAAAGAAUCUUAUAUGUUAAGGAGUUAGCAGGAGUCUUAACGGUCUUGAAAGGUUUCAAGAACUAAUCAAGAAUAAACCUUAUCAAUCAUCACUAGCACACGACUUGAGGUUUAUGACCUAUCGUGUUGACAUUAUUUUGUUUCUAUGCCAUUCCAAUGGAGUUAAUUAUGCAUGUGAGUUCUAUGAGUUCUCAUUUGAACGCAUAAAAGGCAAGCACCUUGAUCAAUGAAAAGUACAUUGAUAGGAAAGGGUGAGCUUCUUAACUACUUGGAAGACAUGGUGGGCACUCGUGUUACCAUAAGGCAAGAAAUCAAGAUUGAGAAAGUUCGGUCCAUAUGAGUUUGGAUUUGUGGCAAACUUUGGUUUUGGCAAAUUCGCAUGGACAGGAACUCAUACACCAUAAAAUCUAAGUGUCAUAAGAUUACCUCCUUCAUGAAAAUAACUGUGAAGAAAUUCUUUCACUAAGAGAGAUUUUAAGAAGAUAGCGAUUGUGAAAUUGUAUUCUCGAAUUCGAUUAUGGUUACGGUAUCCCUUUCCAUAAUUCGAAUUGUGAGAUUUGGCG